CUUUUUUUUUUUUUUUUUUUUUUCCUACGUAGAAAACUGCAAAUAUCAGAAGUGGUCGGUUAAGGCAGAGUCCAUGACAAAUUAUUAAGUGAUUUCAUCCGUGAUAUGAUCACAGUUUUAAUACAGUAUACAGGCUGAAUAAUUAAAUAAAAUCUCAAUCCUGCAACUUGGCCUGAGAGUCUGUAGCAAAAUUGCCUCAGCAUGAUGAGGGGAUUGAAAUAGGAAAAAAAAAAAAAAAAAGAACACUCAUUUAGAAGAAAUUCUUCAGCAAAAAUUUCAACCCAUUACGCGAUGUCACUCCCCCAAAUUCCCUCAACAAAAGCUUUCAAUUAAUGAACUUCAGAUUAGCCUAGCCAGUUUCCAUUAGCGCCCAGCACAUUAGGCUUUAGAGAUCUUCUUACACCAGAACCGUGCCAAGUUGAUGCUGCUUUGCUUGUGCAACAGACCUACUGGUCGUCAUCGUGCAAGGGUAACCUAUUGACUAAGGCAGAAAUCCAGAAGUUAACAGGUGAUUUCCAGCCCGUUUCACGAUAGAUCGAACGAUAUACAGCAGCCCCAGAGGAAUCAACAAACCGAGAGAUCUGCAAUCCUCAAUACUAUCACAAGGAUUUUACGUCCUUCUCCACAAAUUACGUAAAGCAAGCAGAGUGAUGAGCAUUAAGUAGAACUCUGAAAAGAUUACCCUUAAAAUAAUUUUGUUUUAAAAACCAUAACAAAUGCUGAAAAGUUCAUAAUUACAAUUUAUUGCUGUUAAAUUUUUUACCAUCCGAACCAAUGGAAAGAGAAGGAAGUAAAUAAAAAGCUAAUUGCGGAUCCUAAUUCAGCACAAUUCAUACAUUUCAUGGUGCAAACCAAGUAUGAUGCAGCAUUGACACUUUGCACAAUCUAUCGUUUGCAUUCACCUUGACUUCUUACUACGCAAUCCCAUCCUUGAUUUUGCAUACCUAAAUAUUUUGUCAAGUCCAAACUACAGAAAAACCAAUGAAAUCAUGGGAAGAAAACCGAAUAAUACAAUGGUAAUCACAAAAUUAGACUCAAUCUUAGUAAAGGAUACUCCAACCGCAUGCCCUGACCAGAUGGUGAUGAGUACAGAACUGUGCCUUGUAGAUGAUUUAGAGCCUCACUUGAAGUAGCAGAAUCCUACAAAUUAAACCAUCAGAUGCAGACAGGAGCGUUUUACUAAAAGAUUAAUGAGACGGAAAGCACAGGACUGAACCAUGGCUCUGGGUCAAAAUGGAAAUGUUGGGCAUGUGCCAAUAAAUGCUGGGUUCUCCGUAUCAUAACAAAAAGGUGAGAAAAAUCGUCCAGCUUUUGGUUUCACAGGAGAGGUUUAGAUAGGUAAGGACAAGCAGUUGGUAGUACAGGUGACACAGUUAACAGCAUACCUACCUAUACGAGAUGGAAAAAGGUUGAGCAGAAUAUAUGCUACAAAGUGAAACAUUUCUCCAUGUAAAAGAUAGCCAGGUACAGGUGCAACAACAAAAACAAUUGAACAAAACUUCCAGUAACCACCCUUAAUCCCAUGGAGACUAGUAUCAAAGCUGAGCAGCAAAUGCUCCACAUUUUCCAGUCCAACCAACGGAGUGACUCAAGUUGACAACCAAAACUAAAUAAAGAAGAUUAGACUCUGAAUGAAUCUAGAAAAGAUCCUAAUUUUGUUCAAAAUUCCAACAAGAGAAAAGGGACUAUGCAAAUGUACAACAAACAAAAGGAAAUCCACUACGUUAAGCUUUCAUGCUUUUAGACCAGACUUGCAAAAAUAGUGUUCCAGAAGAACAAAGUAAGAAAUAUACCUGGAAAUCAACAAAUGCAACAGGAGCCCCAUAUGUGCUCUGCAUCUUCAAUUUCAGAAAUCCAGGACAUCUAAGUAGAAAGCAGGCACCAAGUUAGUGCAGCCACAACAAUUUUUAUGAUGAAUGAUGAAGAAGACUGUUCUCCUGAACCUUGAAAAAACUUGAAUGAGCUCCUGUUCUGAACAAGUUGGACCCAGAUUAGCUACAAAAAGUGUUGGACAUGGGGUGGAAUUCUGUGAAACACGGAGCUGAAGUCAAGCGGGUGUACAGCCAAAAUGGAUUAAUUAAUCUACCACAUAAAAGAUCACUAUAUGAACUUGAAAAGGGAGUCAGUAGAUAAGAUUUGUCAAGUAAUAAUCUAAAGCAAGCAAGUGAACAAUAACUGUAAUCGUUCCAACACGCUGAAACUAGUGCAGGAGCAAGACUAAGGCCCUGUUUGAUAACUCAAUUUACCACUUAAAUUUCAUAGGUUCAGAUCUUAACAUGUUCAGAUGCAUUUGAUAACCAAAAAUAGAACAUCUGAAGAAAAUUAAGUGGCACUAAAUUUUCUAGGCAAAAUUUGCUCCCAAAAAAAGUGAUGAGCUAUUCAAUUAUCACUUAAUAUGAUAUAUACACUCAAGUGUAUCAAAUUUAGUCCUUAACAAUUCAGUAACUUAACGAAUUCAGGCUUCAAUUUUAUCAAACACACCCUAACUCAUGCCUUAAAUAAAUGCUAUACAAAAUACUCAGAAUCAGUAUUCAGUUCGUAUAUUCAUAAAGACUUUACCAUAUCAAGGACAAUUUGGAAUGGAUAGCCUCUCUCAUGAAAAGGCCCAGGUUUUCAAAAGCUUAAGGAGAAAACUAACAUUUCUAGCUCGAAAAUCAUGAGCCAAAGCAGGAGUUAAAUUCUAAAAUUUUAAAGAGCCAAACAAAAAUUAUGAAAUAGUUUGUAAAAUACUGUAUCAUUAAAUAAAAUUUCAGGGACAAGAACAUCUUACCAAUUUUUUACUAGAGUCAUUUGCAGCCCUCUCAUCAAAGCUUCCCUCACUACAUUGUGAGAAAAAAGAAAAUGGAAAUCAGAUAAGAUUUUUCAGUAACAUUGUAACUGAUAAAGUUCUCUAACUUCAGGGAAUAGGGCAUAUAGUGACUGCUUCAAUGUGGCCCUUGACCUUUCAGCCAGAAGUAAUCAAAUAUGAGUAAAUUAAACGUGCAUAUCGGCAAGAAGUAAGCACUUCCAAAUAAUUAAAGUGUGCUUAAGUAGUGCAGAUGACCUUUGUGUGGAUGAAUAACCAAUCGUGUUGUGAGCGGAAUUACCCGUUCCAGGCAUGUGAAUGCUGCCAACACCUGCUAGUGCCCAACAGUGCAAAACAUGUGCAAGGUGAGCUUUUAUAUUAACGUGCUCUCCGCUUGGCUGACUAGCUAAUAUUCUUUGUAAGAGAUCAAGUAGGUAUCAUGUGACUAAUUUGGAUUUAAAAAAAAAGCAUAAAAACACAAUUAAACAUCGUGCCCUUGGAAGAAGCAGAAGAUAGAGACUGCUUGUAGAGAUAUUUUCAUCCACAAUAUGCACAGGAAAACUAAGGCAAAAACCUUACCCGAAUCUGUGCCCCUGGAAGAAGCAGAAGAUUUCAUCCUCUUCUCUGAUGCAGCACUCUCAUCAUCUGGUUGUUGCAAGUCAAACACAAUGGUUAAAAAAAGCAGGACACAAGGCAUGACAGGCAGGAAAAAUGUUGCAAAAGUACCUGUUCUUAAGCGCUUAGACCUGGGAUUAGAUUUUGCAAGAUCAAUAUAUAAUGUGGAACCUUUCUCAAGGUCAAAUACCAUUCCCUGGGAAGAAAAAAAAAAAGAAAAAAAAGGAUUAAAAUCAACAAGUGCUGAGGAUAUUUUCUCAGUAAAACCAAAGAUGUGAAUAUGAAAAUGAAGGGAGCCAACUACAUAAGGCAAGAAUGCUAAUUUAUGCAGAAACAGAUAACAAUUACAAUAUAAAGAUACAGAAUUUAGGGAAAACCCCACCAUUCCAAUUUUUAGUCAUACACAACACAAACCCACAACAUUAAAAUCAACAAGUUGUAAGAAUGAGAGACGAUCCUAGAAUUGCAUGAACUAAGGAUCAGUGAGUAGCAAAGCCAUUCCAAAAUGGGAUUUAUAAUUAUGUUUUCCUUUGUGGGAAGGGCAGGUGCUCCCGCCAGGCUCUAAACCCGUCCGGUAAGUUUUUCAAAUUUUUGAAAACAGAAAACCGACUUACUUGCCGGCCUCCACAUCAUUAUUGAUGAUCGAUUCAUUUCAAAUCAACCGAACCCGUCUAAAAUACUAGAGUGUUUGACCACAGUUACUAGGAGCUCAGUAACUUAGAACUAGUAACAAAUGCAAAGAAAGAUGUCCUUACAUUGAGCGUGUGUAAUGCCAUAACAGCUGACUGCUGAUCCACAAAAACAGCAAAAGCAAAUGGCUGUAAACAACCACCAAAGAAAGAACAUAUAAGAAUGCAUAUAUGCAUACAUUAAACAGACUGAAACGCCUGAGAGACCAUCAACUAAUCCGAUAAACAUAAAAACAAACAAAUAAUUGAGAAAAUGAGGGAAAAAAAAUCACCUGAGUACUGGCUGUUGUACGAAGAUGAGAGGACUCGUAACCAGGGAACUCGCGAAAUAGGUUGUAGAUUUCUCGAGCCUUGACAUCUUCAGGAAGUCCAGCUAUGAAGAGAGUACGGACCUCGUCGUGCGAGGAUUGAGGGUAAAGCGGCGGAGCGUAAUUGACGAAUUGGGUUUGAGGAGGUAGGUAUUGCUGGUGGUGUAGCGGCUGAGCUACCGCAGGAUGAGCAGGAUGGGCAGCGGCUCCUGGAGGAGGUGGUGGUGGAGCUUCGUAAUAUUGGUAGUGGGCAGGCGGAGGAGGGUAGUAUGCCGCCAUGACGACGACGUCGUCCAAGGAGAGACUUCGAUGAGGCCUGGUUUUUUCCUAUACUGUGAUUUUUCUGAAUACGAGCUUAGCGUUUUCAUUUACUAAGCUAGGAAGUCGGCCAGUGGUGGAUGCUUUUGGGCCCAAUAGGCGAAAGGAUUCAUAUGGGCUUUUUCGGGUUUUCAGAUGGGCUUUUUUUUUCUUUUUUCUUUAGGUAGCUCUCUUCGCUUUUUUUUUUUUUUUUUUUUUGGUUCUUCCUCUUUCCCUUUUUAUUUUUAGGUAGCUUUCUUCGCUUUUUAUUUGUUCGUAAUAUAUUCUCUACUAACUAUUUUUUUUUUAAUCCCCAACUCAGUUUGCUUAUCUUGGAAGAUCGCCACGAUUGUUGCCGCCUAUAUUCGGGGAGGGACCAAGAGAAGAAAAGAAAAAUGCUACUCAAAGUUUGCGAGCGAGAGUGUUAGAUAAAAACUCAGAUUAGAUCAAUGGAUGGGUACGAGAUAGAGACGACAUACUUGUAGAGUUAGUUCUGCAUUUUACAUGGAAAAUGGCGGUUUCUGUUUGGAAGACUUAUGGGUGAGGCAAGUUUUGGAUUUGAAGCAUUUACAAUAAGUCUCUAAAGCGACAAAAAAUGACAAAUAUUACGAAGCCAAGUUACGUGCACGUUUGCAGCUCGUGCGAAACAAUAAUGACAAUAGAUUUUGGAUCAGCCUCACCACCCCCAUCGAGAUAAUUCAAUUUUCCACGAGAACAGGCUCCUUGUGCAACUGUUACCAUAAAAAAAAAAAAAGUCAAUUUGAUUCUUAUAAAGUAAUUGGAUAAAUUGGUUGAUUAAAUAUAAAAGUGAACGAGUGAAUGGGUUUGAAAUAUUUUUUACUGUCACGUUUCUGGUUUGAAUUCUGUAUCUGAGAGUUAGGAACGGAAAGGAUGCGACGAGAAAGGGGAGAAUAAAAUAAAUGAAUAUCAUGUGGAAGAUCAUGAAUACUUGUAAUACCAUUUUGUUCAAUCAAAACGAAAAUGCUAGAUUUCGUCAUGCAGAUAAUGCAUCAUUAACUAGAUUACAUAGAUUCAAAGAAACUAAUACUCGUCUUCCCGGGAGAUGCAAUGGCAACAUUAAUACUACCAAAAUCCAGAAACCUUUGACUGGCCUCUAUAAGUUGGAUUGGUUCAUCCACACCACUAAUGUUAAAUUUCGUCUUACAAUUAGCUUCGGCACUAUCAAUGUUAAUUGCUCUCCACUAGAGGUCGAGCAAUCAAAUGUUUGGUCGACUCGUAGUCAAAAUUCACCUAUAAUGAAAACUCAUGGCUUAAAUGUUGAAAUUGUUAAUUUUUUGUUGCUAUAUACGUACUGCGUUUCCCUUUUAGUUUUCAGUAAGGAACCCUUCUGUUCCAAAUACUAAAACGGCCACUUGUUCUCAAUCCUGAAGUAGCGUUAAUCAUUUGAGUUCCUACCAUGCCCAAUGACAAGGAAGAAAACGUAUACAUUCCUCCUAGAUAAAAGAUUUUACCAACAGCCCCCGUGCUUUCUCUGCGAAAGUGGUCAAGUUCGGUUAUGGAGACUAAAAUGCCAUGGGAACUAAUGCUGCUACAUCUUGAUAAUCCAAAUGAGGCUAUUGAUUUCCAUGCACUUCUUUUGCAAUGUGGUAAAGCUUAGAAUUGAACAGCUUCAUCUUGCGUUGUAGUAAACUUUUAUAUAUAAGUUUUUUGGAAAAGAAAUUUCUAACAAAAGAAGAGUAAGAUUUAAGAAGCGAAAAAAGGGGAGGGAGAUUUAAACACAGACCUCUAAGUCCUAGGACCUGGACCAAAGCCUCCUCUACUAUUUUAUACAUACUUCCAAGUUGUAAUAUCCUCUCAUACUUAUAUUACCAUUUAAAUUAUCAUCUAACAAAAAAAUUCAAAAGCACACAUCACAUAAAAUCUGGGCAGCCUCACACUUUGCGUCAGGCCCAAUUCAACUAGUUGACAUCAAAGUCUGACCACUCACACUAUUGAAUGGAAAAUUGUUCGAAAGACUGCUUUGCCGAAUGUCCACUAGUCGAAUGGGCAAGCUCAUUGAGUUCAAAAUCAAAUCAAUUAAGGUGGAAAGAAGGCAUGAUGACUGAAAUUUCACUAGCAACGGUUUACUCGAAUCUUGCUCUGAUCACCAAAAGGAGAAAGUCUUGAAAUCCAAGGCCAUCUGCCCAAUGCCCUGAGAUGAAACUCUACCCACAACCAAAAGAGACCUCAAUCAUCAGGUUAAAGCAACACUACACAUUCAAGAAAUUAGCCAGCAAACAGGAUCUUUUAACAGCAAACGAAUUUAAUGUCAGCUUGUCUACACAAAUUUGUGACACAAGAACGUCAACGAGUAGGUUCAGAUACACGAUGAAAUGUGCUUUAUCAUGAGAAGAACUACCAAUGAGCAUAUUGGCUGACUGGAACACUUCCACAUUUCGAUAUUAGUGAAGUCCAAACAGAACACUUCAGAAUGCAGUUUGCAUCAAAACAACUGAAACAAUCAUCAAGAACCAAAAUGCGCAAGCUAUUUAGAUAAGAGGUGGGUAUUGCUUUGCCUGCUGUCGCACUCUCUUCUUAUACUCCAGAGCAUCCUGCAAAUACAGGUGGCAUCUUAUUAUAUUCAGCAUUUGUAUCUUUACCUUUUCAAAGCAGCUAUGCUCCCACCAGAAUACAUUAAAUCAAAUGACUAUAUAAUUUCAAAGAACUGUAAGUUAGGUCACCAUCUGAUUAGACGUAAAAUGCAACCAAUGGCUGCAAAAUUUAGCAAAAACUAGCUCCGCAACACAUACCCUUGAAUCCACUUCAGCACAUCUGUAAUUAAUAAAUUGAAGAUAAAGCAACACAGUGGCUGACAUAUUUCAGCCAUCUUAUUUGAUCAUGACUUAUCUGCAACUCUAACUAAAAUAUUGAGCCUGGCCAAACAAAUUCAUGGAAAAUAUGGAGUGGCUAUGAAUGAUUCUUUUUUUAAUAUGUUAAAUUACCUGCGACAUCAAAAGAAGAGAUGAACCAUGCAGUUUCAAAAUGUUACUUUUCUCAAUAAAGCGAAUAUCCUACAACAAUGUCAAUACCAAUGGAGCACCGCUAUACUUUGAUGUUCUUUGGUGAAAGGUAUCCAGUUAACAGAAGAAGAUCCUAAAAGAGAGAAAAACUUGCAAAUUCAGCUUCCAGAGAAGACAAGUCACCUGUAUAAAUAGGUGGUAACCAUCAGUUUGUGCAGGAUCAGCAGGAUUCGGUUGAUCCAACAAGUCCUGGAUACCUACUAGGAUUUGCUUCACUGUAAUGGCUGGUCUCCAACCCUGGAGAUGACAAAAAGCAUGCAUCAACUUAUAAUGGAGCCAAAAGUCACGUGUAAAAGAUUUGAUUAAUAUGCCAAGCAGAAUGGUACAUACACUAUCUUCAUUGAGGAUUGAGAGGCAAACGGUCCCAGAAGGAUAGACAUUAGGGUGAAAGAAACCUUGAGGGAAUUUACACUUUGGUGGUUUACUCGGAUAGUCUUCACUGAAGUGAAGCGUAAGUGGAUAAGAACCACCUUCCCAGUCAGUCUGCAGCCAAUAUUGGUAAUACAAGAUUUAUGAUACUCAAUUUGCAAUAAGAAUCAUGAUCAUUUGAGAUAAAGUAGCUUCACGGGUUGAAACAGUAAAGCAGCUAACAUAUAACAUAUUAACCAUUAUAAACUUGCACUGAAUUGAUCCAGUAAACACUGAUUCAGUGACAUCCAAUAAGCCUUGAUAAUGCGAUCGAAAGGAAUUUAAAAACCAGUUUCCAUCACUUCUAGUAACUGCCAUGUCUGAACAUACCUUUCGAAGGAGGAUUAGAUAGAAAAGUUAUUACUACAUAGAGAAGGAGAGCAACUAAUGGUUCAAUAGUGCCCUUUCACCUCUACUCAGAAAUUUUUAAGUAGCUAUUACAAAGGAGACAAACCAGAGUUAAGGUUUAUUUCCAUUCUGAAGAAAGAUAUUUCAUCUAUAACGAUGGGAAACAAAGAAGUGUUGCACUGCUUGUUUUAUUGAUCAUAUAAUUUCCCAAUAAACUUGCUUCAUUAGAGAAAACAGAAUGGACUCUUUUUUAGUUAAUUGCCGAUGAUAGUGUGCUUCAAGUAAAACGCAUGGUAAGAAUCCUAAAUUCCAGCAAUAUAGCUACAGACAUCACUAAGUUCAAGCUAGAUCUUCAGAAUUAUCAUCCAUUCAUUUUUUCCUAGCUAGAAGUGUCAUUUUGGUGGACCAACGCCUAAGUUAAGAUCGACUGCAAAGUAAAAACUCGCCCCAUUUUAAUCUUCGUAGCCAAAUUACCCAUAAGACCAUAACAAUGCUUAGACACCAAAGACAUUAAAAUUUCAUCAAAGAAGCUUAUAAAACAAUAGAAGAAGGUACAGGCAAUAAUACACAACAAAGUUGUGCUAAAGCACAGAGAGAGAGAGAGAGAGAGAGAGAGAGAGAUUAAUAAAUCAGGCAAAAAAAAAAAAAAAAAGAGCAACAACUCUUCGCCACAGCACUGGUCAUUAGUUUUAACUCUUGUCCAGUAUUACAAAAAGAAUACGAAAUUUAAUUUACAAAAUAAAAAGUGAUUCUAGGUUAAGAAACUUACCCCAGGCUUACCAGGAAUGGUGCAGUGCCAAACCAUCAAAUUAACGGAACCAUCUGGAAGUGUCUCCGGCUUGGCCACGAAACCCUAAACCAGUAAAAAUAAACAUAAUUAGAGCUCUAAUUAUUCUGUUGAGCAAAAAACAAUUCAAGACGUUAAUUUAUCGCUAAUAUAAAUAUUAAAUUUUCAUAUUAUGCUGCGUAUAAGGAUAACAGGGAGGAGGCAAAAAAAAAAGGACUCAAACAGAGGGAGCAUGAUCAAACAUGGGGGUGAUUUUUACGCCAGGCUUUGCGUUCCUCGGUGAGACGUCCACGCGCUAUACCUCCCGACAUUUCCGCGCAAUUUUGCCAAUUGAAACCUCCGAAAAGAUUUCUGUUUUACCAAAAAAAGAAGAGAAAAUGAGUAGCCUUCGGAUUUCACGGCUACCGUAGACGACGAGACGACUAGAGAGGGAGAGAAGGAGGCCUGGGGACUGAGAGUGCCCGUGCGAUCGUGUAUUUGGAGUACCGAUCUAAUUAAUGCUUUAUUUUUUUUCUCUCUUAUCAUUUUUAUUUUAAGGAUCAUCAACUUGACUGUACUGAUCACAAUCGACCAACCAACAAUUGGGCUUUAAAAAAUUAAUUAAUAACUAUGAUUAGUCUAAUAAUGGAUUUUUGAUAGGUUAGAAUAUUGGGAUUUCAGGGGAUAGGAAGUCAAAUGGAUUCUUUAUUCCCAGCCUAUAGCGUGAAUUCCACGCCAUUCAUGUCCUCACGUGGAAAAUGCGUGCCAACUGCCAACCGGUCCUUAGGUGGCUGUGGCUCUACCAAAAAAAUAUAUAUUUUUUGUGGCCCCCACGAAAAUGAGAAAGAAUGAGUAAAUUUUCUGGGACGCCGCUCCCAAACCUCGCUUUACACAUUUUCGAUGACUUUUUUAUUUUAUCUAUAUAACGUUCUACAAAAAUACAAUGCAACAGUGCUGCUUUUUUGUCCCGAACUCUUGAAACUUGCAACUCAACGACCUCUUACAUUCCGUACCGAUUCUUACUUUUCAUACUAUACAAAUUCCAAUUCAAUCAUGCUUUAAGUUGAGUUUUCUUUUUUUUUUUUUAGGGAUAAUUUCAAAAACUUGCCUUGAGAUUUUUGAUAAUUUCACUCAAUUCCCUUGAGAUUUACAUAAUUACAAUGACCUCCCUUAACAUGAUAAAAAGACAAUAAUACCUUCAUUAAUUGUCAACUCAUUAAAAAAACCCUCCUAAAUAUUAAAGUUCUCUCAAUUAUUGUCAACCAAUAACUCAAACUAUGAUUUUCUCAUUUAACUCUCUAUCCCCUUUCUUUUACAUCUGAUUUCCUGCCAAACUCAUGUAUUUAUUCUUAUCAACCAAAUGUGUACUAUCGCCAAUAAUAAAAGGGUAAAAAAUCUCAACGGUCACUAAACUAUUGAUCGGAUUAUGUUUUGACCAUCAAACUAUUUUUCGUCAAUAAUUAGCCACUAAACAACUUAAUCAGUAAAUUCAUGACCAUUUAGUUGGUAAUUGCUCUUAAUCUGAAAAAUUAACAAUACACGUGGAAAAGUGCGGGGGCAAUUUUGUCCAACAACUACGCAAUCCUAUAACUCAAUUUUCAUAAACCCAUCGAAGUAAAGAAAAAAAGAAGUGUAAACCUAUUAAACUUCCAUUUUCCAAAUUUGUUGUAAAUAAUUUGGGAUCUCAAGGUUUAGUGUUUUGCAGAUGGAAGAGAAGGGAAAGUCGUGGUUCCCAGGGAGCUCCCCAAAUCGUGGUUGCUUGGGCCUGUUCCUUGGGAACCAAUGGCUAGUGAAGCCAACGAUGCUUCGAUAGAUCAGAAGGGCAUCAUGACCAACCCUCCCAAGGCAAGGCUCUCUCACACUUCCAGGACCUUUAUUGCGAAAAACAGUUGGGGAGGUGUGGGCAGAGAUUCACAAGUCUCAAUAAGAAUACAAGCCCCAGAGUAAUAGCAUCAAUCCGCAAAAUACAGGCUCCUCUCAGCAGCAGCAGAUCACAUUUGGGGAAAUGACUUUGGUAGGCUUCUUAGUUAGAGUAGGGGUGGUACGAGAAUAGACUCAAGCGCCGCUACCGCCGCUGCCUCAACAGCAGUAACCGCCUUACAGUGGUACUUUCUACCAAUGUUGCGAGCUAUCAGUCGAUGCCACAAACGGGGGAUCCAUUUGCUGCUUAUUCCGGAAACAUGAAGAGGAGCGGAGGUUAUACUGCCCAGCUGAUGGCGGAUAUGGACAAGUGCAGGGAUUAGGAAUGGGUUGCGUAGGUGCUAUACAAAAUUGCCACCGUAUUUUGCCACGUGUAUUGCUAAUAUCACAAAUUAAGAGUAAUUAUUGAUCAAAUGACCAUGAGUUUUCUGAUUAAGUUGUUUAGUAGCCAAUUAUUGAUGAAAGGUAGUUUAAUGGUCAAAACAUGAUCCGACCAAUAGUUUAGUGACCGCUGCAAUUUUUUGCCCAUAAUAAAACCACCAUAGACACCAAAACUACCAAUGCUUACUUAUUUUGGUGUCUAUUCCCAAUUCUCCCUUUUCAUCAUUAUUAUUAAAUAGUUUUCUUACCCCCAUAUUUGUUUUCAAUUUUUGAUAGGCAUUAGCAAAUUAAAAUUGUCAAAUGACAAAUUGAAUGAUAAUUUCAUUAUUAAACUAGAUGGAGAUAAAAACAGUAGCAGUGAUAGAAAAAUAAAAAUUAAGAAUAGGAAGUGUAAUAGGAACUAAAUAUAGAUUAUACUAUUAUGGUUGUUAUGAAAAAAAAAUGUUCUCAGUAUAUUUAUAACUGCAUUGUGUUUCUAUUUUUUAUUUACAAUUAUUAAUGUUAUUCCUAUAGAGAAAAUUUGAUUGAUUUUGAACUUUGUGCCAAUAGAGUAUAUUAGACAUUGAUAAUAGUAGUGAUGCCUUAAAUUAUUUUGUAUUCAAAAAGUGAUAGCCAUGGAAUUAAAAUUUAGAGAUAUCGAUGUAUAUUGUCGUGUAUUAUGCAAAAUCUAAUAUUGAUAUGAAACUAUAAGUAAAUUUUUGGAUAUCUGAUGUAGUGUUUAUAAUUGAUAUAAUGAUUUGCAUAAAAAAUUUUUAGGUAAAAAAUAAACAUUAAAACAAAGAUAAGUAUUUAUUUAAUGGUGAUUUGGAUGUUGAUGGAUAGGUAAUAGUGAUAGCAAGUAAGAAUGAAUGAAAUAUAAACUAUGAACUACUUUUUUCCUUUUAUUUUUGCUAUUAAUUAUACAUCAAGGGCGUUAUAGGAUUUUUGAGAAAAAGUCUAGCCUUUUAGACCUAAAAUGUUGCUUAAACAAUGAAAAUAGGGGAGGUAUGCAUAAUUUUUAAAAAUUGAGGGGAGCUUUCUGUGAUUAUCAAAAAUCUCAGUGGAGUUAUGUGAAAUUAUUCCUUUUUUUUUUAAAAAAAAAUUAUACAUGUUUUGAAAAAUGUUCCAUGAGCUUCUUUCCAUAGUCCACACUUUGUAUAAUUUAUUCACACGAGGCACUUGGUCAAUGACAGCGUUCGACGUACGUCGAUUGGCCCAAGGCCCUAAGCUAAGCAUGAUAAUUUUACGAGACUAAAGUUCAUUAUGUUAAAACUCAGAUUUCAAACAAUUAAUUUGUACCUAACAUAUGCUAUAUAGGAUUAUGAUCACUAAUGAGAUAUGUUCCAUCUAUGGGUUUAAUAGCUUAAUUUGGCCAUAAGCUUGAGGACGUGUCAGCCACUUUAUUUUUUUGAGACAAAUGUGAAAACGAGCCUUCUUGUUUUUUGUUCCAAAAUGAAAAAUUAGUAGGGCUGUAAUCGAGUCGAGCUCGAGUAUCACCAUACUCGAGCUCGACUCGACAUAUAGAUAUGGUGUUUGAGCUCGAGCUCGAGUGAGUAGUAUUAUUGGAGCUUGAGCUCGAGUUCGAAGCUUGCUCGUAAUACUUGAGUUCGGUCGAGCUCGAGUUAUUAAAAUUCAUUUUCUUGAUAAUUUUUGAGCGAAAAGACAUUAUUGCCCUUUUAAAAUUUUUAUAUGACUUGAAAUAUUUCAUAAAUUCGACAAUUUUUUUGGGUAUAAGGGUAAUUUUAUAAUAAUAAUAUAUUAAAUAAUUAAAAUUAAAAUGCUCGAUAAGGCUCGUCGAGCCUUCGAGCAUCGCUUCUGAAUGCUCGAACUCGACUCAAUAACCUUAUCGAGCUGCUUGAAUUCGACUCGAAUUGAAUUUGACCGAGUUUGAGUCAAACUUUUGACCGAGCUGCUCGCGAGUAGGUUCGUUUACAUCCCUAGAUAUUAGCCUUCAGGAAUGUAGAGUUCUUUUCCCCCUUUCAGUUUCAGUAGAGAAAAGAAGAGAGAUGGGUAGCUCUUUUAAUCCUUCAAAUCAGCUUCAUACCCUGUUCCGGACAUCUGGUAGCCGGAAAUUUAUGAGAAUUCUUAAAAGAAAUCUUGUGAAGCCAGCUCGAUCUAUCUUAAUAUACACCAAAAAUUAAAUCAAAAAGACAAUUCGCAGCGGGGAUGGAAGAAGUUUCUUUUCCCUUUCAGCAGAAGUUUUAUGUGUUUGUUUCCAACGCAGUUAACCCUCUCUAAACCGAAUGUACAAAACUGCUUUGAAGAUCAAACAUGGCGUUUAAGAAAUUGUUUUGAUAGGUCUAGAAAGAUAUGACAAAACAAAAUGCAUUUCUCCCAAUUUCUCGCCAGAAACCCUAUCAAGAUACUACACUACCUUCAACUCGCACAACAUGCUACUAACACAAAAUGAUUCAAGAACCGCGUUCAGGAUAGGUUAAUCUCAGCUCAAUUUAACUUUUACCUAAUCAUUUACAAGAACUGGCGCUCCUGAAGUUCACAACUUCAUCAGAUACAGGUUAGUGGACAUCAAAUGCACCAUUUUUUUUUUUUAAUCAUCUAAGCCCGUCCUCCUAACAAAGUGAAUGAACAUACUCACGCCAAUCGCUUCAAAUCCCACGAGGGAAGCGUGCUUAUUCCACAAAUGCUAAUCCCAUUCCAGCGUGGCUUUCAGUACGAAAUCCAUUAAAAUUUAUGCUCCAUCCAAUAUCCAUGCUUUGUAGAUGUAAUUGGAAACUAUGAAUAUCCAUUGUACGAAUCCCUUGCGCUGUUGUCUACCAUUGCAGUGUCUUUUAUAUUUUGUAUCAUCUUCAGUGUUUGCCGGAUCGUUGGCCUCUGUUCGGGUGAAGUCACACUACACAAACUAGCAAUCUCAACUAGCAUUCCGACCCAUUUUUCUUCCUCAGAAUCGUCAUCCCUCAUUGCUCUGACCCAAUUCGGCACAUCAGGGGCAGCAAGGAACGGAUGCUGAGAUGGAGGUUUACCAGUCAGAAGCUCUAAUAAGAGGAUGCCAAAGGCAUAUACAUCAGAUUUUGAAGAGGCUCGACGAACAGACUUGCAUAUCUCAGGUGCUUUGUAUCCUGCAGAUUCUGGAUCAUCAAUUAAAGAACUAUCAGCAAGGAUGGACAGGGAGUAGUCGGUUAGACAGGCCUCAAAAUCAGAACCAAGAAGGACAUUGGAGGAUUUCAGGUUGCCAUGAAUGAGCUUUGAUGCUUGAUGGAUGUAAGCAAGGCCCUGAGCCACAUCCUCUGCAAUCUUCACGCACGAUGUCCAGUGAAGAGGUUUAGCCCUUGUUGAUCUUGAACCUUACCAACGAGAUAUGGCAAAGUAAAUAAGAAUAAAUCGAAGACAAUUACUUUUGCCUUUCUAAAGAAAGGAACGUGCAAUGCAUUCUCAGAUUUAUAUUGGCCAUGGACACUGUUCUUUUCUGUACCCAUGAAAGAGUCAUUAUCUAGCUUCAUUUGCAUCAAUGUGUUAAUGGGAAAAGGACAUCAAAGAGAGAACACAUGCAUCAAUUCAAUGGGAAAAUGUAGCAUCUACUUCUAACAACGGAGAAAACAGCUCAUCAAACUUAUGAAAAACAUCAGAUACAGACGAUAUGAGAGGGGAUAUAAUCUCAGUACAGAAGCAAGACAAUUAAUAGUACAGCAAUCAGUUUGCUGUCACCGGUGCCAAACAGAAAAGCAGGGAAAGCAAUUCUAAACUGAUAGACACCCCGUUAUUCACUACUAUCGUAAUUCAGCUAUGAGAUACCAGUAAGUGAUCACUGUGUAGCAUGCAUGGUUCCCCGAGGCAUCUAAUAUUGCCCUUGGUCUGCAAUACCAGAAGUACAUAGAACACAUCUAAUUCUAAUUUGAGUUUAGCAAGUGCAUAGUUCCCCAACUUGAGCAUCCCGGGCACGGAUGCUAGUCUAGCUAUUAGUGUGAGUUUCCAGCUGCCACCACCAUUUUUGAACGAGAAGUUUGACCUAUCACGUCAUUGUUGAUGGAGUGAUGCUGCUACUACUACACAGUACCUACAAUUUCAAUUCUUCCUGUGCCUAAGGGUAGUCCGAAGGGGAAAUGUUUAACGGAACUAGCUUAUUAAAAACUACAGAUAACUGAAGAAAAUAAAAUACUCCUAGAUGAAUGUGCUGCGAGUACCAAGUCCAUCAUUAAAUGACAGCCACAAAUCUGACCCAACGUACAUAAGCUUUAAGGCCUCCGCGAUAACAACCAUAAUAAACGUCUCAAUUAUUGUCCCAUCAUUAUGUACCGAAGCUCGCAUUCUCGACUCUCCAUAUUCACUGAUUCCCCAAGCGGGCCAAGCCCAAUUGGUGGAAAUGGAAUAAGCCAAGCAAUUGACUCGUUAGAGGUCAUCGGUGAGCAGAGGACUGAAUAUUAAUUUAACCAAACCUACUUACACUAACAGACAGAUGCCAAACUGGGAACUGGAAACUGCCAAAACAAACCAUAUUUACAGUUUGGGCGGAUAUUAUUUGAAAUAAUUACCGUAGCAUGAUAUAAUGAUGGUUGAAAAUAUAAAAAGGUGAAUUAAAAAUGUAUUUAUGAUGCAAGCGAAAUAUUAUUUGAGAUAAUUUCUUAUCCAAACAACCAUAUUGUUAUUUGUUGGUGACCUGUUAGCCAUAGACCAGUGUUGACUAAAAGUGGGAACCACCGAGAUGAUCGGCAAUACGGCGGUGGGAACCUAGCUCCGCUCAGAAGGGGUUCUCACUUCUCUGCAACACUAACCAACUGAACAAAAACCUACAACCAUAAAAAGCUCUGGCAGCCGACAACUUGUCAUCGCAAAAAACCCCCCAACACGACUCACCCCACAGCUACAGCUCAAACGCUUGGCACUAAAAGCCAAGACAACAAAAACAAAAACCAGUAGUAGAAGGAGUACAAUUUAAGUAUAACAAUAAAAUUUUAAAAAAAUUUGGGGGGGGGGGGGGGAGGCGAGCUUACCAUGAAUGAGAUUGAAGAGACUGCCAUUGGGCUGAUAAUCAAAGACAAUCAGCCUUUCUUGUUUAGCUUGAAAAUAAGCCCUGACUGGAACCAAAUUGGGAUGCCGAAGCACACCAACGGCAUCCAUAUGCUGCUCAAAGGCCUCCGCAGUGGUAAUAGCAGUCUUGCAAGCAUCCAGUCUCUUCACCGAUACAAUUAACUGGUUAUCCAACACAGCUUUAUACGUAGUUCCAAUGGUUCCCCUCCCCAGCAACUCAGCUGACGCCCUCAUUAGCAGCUCCAGCGUGUACAACUCCGCCUCUCCAUUACAAAACACCAAAUUCCCACUCUUCACCUGCUUGAUACCAUGACUGUUAGUUUCAUGUACUUGAUAUAUUUUCUUCUCUUUCACAAUUCCAUCCUCGACAUUUCCAAUUUGCGUAGAUAUCUCCGCAUUGUUACGACCCAUCUCCGGUGACAAUGCUCUUUUCUUUGCAUCAGCUUGUUCUUCCUCCUUUGGCGUUUUGAAGUAAGCGAAAAUGCAUAAAACUGCUGCAAUCACGAUAAAUACUCCUAUUAUAACCCCUAGGAUCACGCCAACUCUUUUGUGCCUUUUUUUCUGCGACGGAGAAGGGAUCAGCACUUCUCCCUGGGACUGCGAGCUCUGGAGGAGCGGUGCAGGCGGGGCAGCGGCGUCUCCGGCUACCGGAACAGCGUCGAAGAAGGGAGUAGCGCGGCAUGGUCUGUUGAUGACAUCUCCACAGAGACCAGGGUUCCAUAAGAAUGAAGAAAUGGUGAAUUUUUUUAGAGUGGGAGUGACGGGUACUGGUCCGGUUAGGUUGUUAUUGGAGACGUUGAAGAUUGCUAGCGCGGUCUGGUUCAAUGGAGGGAUUGAGCCGUUGAACCGGUUGGAAUCGAGCCGAAGAUAGUUGAGGCGGUCCAGAACGGUCAAAUCACUGGGGAUUGGACCGGUGAAGUUGUUGUGAGAGAGGUCGAGGAUAAGGAGGCGGUGAAGAGAGAGGAGAGAAGGAGGGAAAGUAGCGGAGAAGGAGUUGUGGUCGAGGAAUAGGGACUUGAGGUUGAGGAGGGGAGAAAGGUCAGGAAUCGGACCGGUGAGCGAGUUGUUCUUGAGACUCAAGACUCGGAGCUGGUCGAGGUGAGUCAGAGUGUCGGGGGGAAACUGGCCGCGGAGGCCAAAACCUUGGAGGACAUAACGGACGACUCGGCCUUGUCCGCAUUUAACUCCUUGCCACGAACAGUAGUCAAAACGUUCGUGAAUAGCGUAGAGAAGGUGGUUGUCCAGGUCAGCUUUAGACUUGAAUGAGAGCAGUGAAACGGCGUCGGAAGGGAGUAGGACCAAGGAUGGAGAGGGCGUCGUGGAAAUAGAAAUGGUAGUGGCAGAGAAUAAAGUAGCACUACUAGUAAAGAGUAGAAAACAACGGAGGAGAAGAUUCCCACAUUGUUUUAUUAGAGUAUGCAUGCUGUUGCUGUUGUUCUUGUUGCUGGAGAAGAGGCGUGGGACUGGUUAUUGGACUACGAGUAGUAGAGUGUUUCGUUUUCAUCUGAUUUGAUGGUGUAUUUGUGGUUUGACAACGGGGACCGGAGUUUGAAACUUCGAUCCAUUGGAGCUGAGGAAAGGGAGGAGAACUUGGGUGGCGGGGAGUGGGACUGCUGAUGGUGGCGGAGGGGUGGACUGGUGGUGGGAGCAGAAGACUAGCUGUGGAGGAAAAGAGGGGGGAAAGAGAAGAAGAAAGCGAAAUGGGAAGCAGCUGGCUGCUGGCUGGGCUGUAAUAGUAGUGAAAUACCAGUAGCAUAUCAUGGGUCAGUGUCACGUGAAAGCAGGGUUGAAACUUACAGGCAAAUCAGGGGGAGAAAAUAGAAAUGCAUUUGGGCUUUUGUGUCUCUUUCCUUUCCUUGUAGGACGUGUGCCGCACUAGUUCCUGCCCCUCUCCCAUGGUCACCUGUUUGCUAAAGUCAAUACGUACACAAAAAUCUGCAAAGCUUUAAAAAAAAAAUAUUUUUUUUGGGUUUACGUACUUUUAGCUUUUUAACGUGUUUACAAAUCAAUAGUAAUCUGUGGUUUUACGAAUCAUUAAUUAUCCUCCAAAUUCGCUGCAGGUGCUGGAAAAGUUACCUAAAUAGUGCUUGUGCGGGCAAGAUAACAGAGCCGAGAGUUGUCCCCGUCGAGCUUCUUGCCUGCGACCACAAGGGGAAAUAGAAGGCACCAGGUCCAGCCUCGAGAUUCUCUCAAAAUGACUUUUGUUUGGGAGUCUAGAUGAGAUAGGAGGCAGAUAAGAAUUUGUUACUUUUGAUUGUGAAAAUGGGAGGCGUUUAUACUCCAAGUAUUAGUACGGCUUUCGGAAAAUCAGGGUGACUGAUAAUUUCGGAUUGCUAUCACAUCAAGCGGCUGAAUAAUGUGUCAACCACAAUAUGACUAGAUGUGCAGCUCCACCGGAAAUGGGAUCACAUCUUAUAACUCAAUUUUCACGUGGUAUGUGAGAUUCAUAAAAAUUUGUUUUAAAAUUACGUCGUGUGCAAAAAAAGUUAUACCAUAUACAAUCAAAAUUACGCACAGUAAAAAAUGCACACAACCGACAGAAACAGUUGCACCUGCAACCGUUCGUGCCCCUUGUCCCAGCUCCACCAUGUCGAGGCCAAAAAUAAUAUGGGAUAGCCACAUUUGAGAAACAGGGUAUUUGUUCGUCGAGGUGGUGGCCAAGGCCUCGCAGCACUAAUUUUUCUUCUUCCUCUAAGCUAUAAGUUAUGACUUUAGGAUGAUGCAGAGACAUAGAUAGAACUACAGCGUUCAGCAUGGAAGGAAUUGAUUCUCAUUUGGAAGCCAAAUGUAAAUUGUACUAUUCUUUUUUCUUUUUCUUUUUUUGGCAUUCUCCUGAAGAAUUUUUUUUUAUUUUUUUUUUUUUUGGUAUUGUGUGGGGGGUGGGUUGGUGGCGGGAAGGAGGAGGAGGAGGAGGAGGAGGAGGAGGGGAAGUCAAUCAGGAUGCAGUGUGGUAAACGGGCUAGCCGAAUCCAAAAGCUCAAAAAGAAGGAUGUAGGUAUGGCUUGCAUUUGUAACCGUGGCCUACCUGCUUUGCCUUGUUAAGAAACCCCACUAGCAUAUGUCAAAAGAGUCGUAGUUCUACUGGUGAGGAAGGAGGAUCCUGCAGCUGCUGAAUUUGUCCGUUGUUCCUUGGCUGGGUCUCUUUUCACUUUUUCUUGUUCUUCUGCUCAUCAAUUUCAAGUUGCAGUGCUAUUUGCGACCUGCCGUCAAAACUUAUAUAAUAUCCCCGACAUUAUUAACAUAUAUAUUGUCAGAGUUACCAGUUGAUCGAUCAUGUGAGCUCUGGACACAGCAGCAGUCUUCAGCCAGUUUCCUUCCUCUUAUCCAUGAUUCCAUGUUACAUGCCGUGCCUUCCUGGGAUUAUAGAUGGUUGUCUUCCACUGUCCAAUAUAGGCACCCCGCCGGCCACCGCCACCCAGUCUGAUUGCUGCUGUUAAUUUUGGUUUUGACUGAAAACACAAAAUCCUUGGGUGGCAGAGGACACCGUCCAACGCAAAAUCCACAUACUAUUAUUACACCUCAGGAAGCAUCGAAUUUCUGCUCUGCUCAUCAACCUCAAUCCAUACCUCAUGCAUACUUUGAUCAACCUCAAUCCAUUCCUGAUGCAUAUUUUGUUAAAAGUUGGAAAGUCCCAGCAUAUAAAACUACUACUAAGUACCGGUUCCACAAGAUGCCAUGUCAUGUCAUUGUCAACUUCUUGUAUUUUCGUCGGUUUUAUUGUCUAAAUUCGCACUAACACGGACGCUGAAACUGUGUAUAUAAAUAUAUCUACGUUUGUCUCCCGUCCAAUUUCCUCAAUUACAAAUUGGGAAAGGGAAUGAGUUUCAUUCUCUGUGUCUUCUACUAAUGCCCUCUCUCCUAAUUCUACGCUUCUACCGACACUACCCUAUCAAGUUGGAUUGCUUUUUUUUUUCUUAAUUAUUUAAGCGUUGCCUAAAACUAAAUCAAUUGUUAUGAACAUUUUCAUUUCUUUCUUGACAGCUGAGCGUUUUUCUCGGAAAUAAACCCCCCUCACCCACCCCCCCAAAAAAAAGGGAAAAAGUUGUCAACAUACUACUGCUAUUCUUUCUCUAUUAUUUGCAGGGUGGCUCUUGGUUAUGGAACGGUAAGCAAGGGUACUUCCAAAUUGGAAAAGUAUAAAAGCAAAAUUAUUAGGAUGACCCCUAAACUUUUGGAAUCAUCAAAUUUUAACCACUGACCUAUUAAAAAUCUGGCUUUGACCACUAAACAAUUUUAAGUUUAAAUUUCGGGUUGUUCUGUUAGAUUUAAUUAUUAACUAUGUCUCUUUCUUUUGUCUCGUGAAUCGUACGGGCACUCAGAUUUGGCAUGGUUAAUGAUCAAAUCUAAUGAAAUUGUCCGAAAUUUAAACUUUAGAUAGUUCAAUGACCAAAAUUUGACAAUUCUAAAAGUUUAGUGGCCAUUCGGAUAAUUUGUUCAAAGUAUAAAUAAACUAUGCAUAUUAUUUGAUAAAUAAUUGUUUAACGAAUACCUAAUUUCCACUUGUUAAUACUUCUAAUUUGCAUCUAAUUCAGUAUUUAAAUAGACACAUUCACAUUUGCUCUUAAACUUAGCCAUUUUCCAUGGAUGCCCAAUCAACAUGAUCUAAAAUAGGUUUUGAGUGUUUGCCAAGAGUGAAAUUAUAUCUAGUAAGUGUUUAAAUACAAAGAGAAACAUUAUACAUAAGUAUAUCCAUUAAAUUGAUAAAAUAGAUGUAAAUUAGGCAUAUGGACAUGUACCUAAUGGUGCUUAGUAGAGAAACCCUUUCCUACUUAAUUUCAAAAUUUUCACAAAAUGCAUAAAUUUCCUUCUUAACUCGUGCUUGCUUUGUGCACAUUAGAGAGCUUCUUGAACGGAUAGGUAGCAAUAUUAAACAUUAUGCUAUAAGAAAAGGGUUUUGUUUAACAAGUGUCUAGUGAGAACCAUCGAAAUGCAGUUUAGACAUUACAUUUUUUAAAAAAUAAAAUUAAAUAGUAUAAAUUCAUGAGAUGAAAAUAAUUAAAAGUGUGUGAAUUCACAAUUAUAAGGAGAAUGAAAAGUGUUUGAGAGUCAAGCCAUGGAUCUUACGAGUUGAAUUGAAUCUUGAAAAUAAGUUAGAUGUGAUUUACUUAUACUACGAAUUCCCAUAGAGCACUUACUAGAAAAACCUAUAAAAAAAUAUAUAUAAUCAUGUGAUUUAUUGUAUAUUACCCUCAUAGUAAGAUUGUACUUUAACCAUUUUCUGUAUCAUAUUGUACGGUAGGCUAUUAAAUUUUUUGACAAUUCCAUAAUUUUGGAAUUAAUCUAAUGUUUAACAUGAGUUUCAAAUAUUAAUUUUUUUUUUUUGAAAAUAGCGAAGUUCAAUCAGAUGAGUGUCCAAAUGAAAAGGUUCAGACAAUCAUGUGUAUCUUUUUUAUCUGUAAUGCAUGUUCAUCUUUAUAAUCCUAUACGUAUGCAUAAGGCGUAUCACUGAUUUUAUUUUUUUGCCUUUAUUUAAACAAAUUUCUCUUUUAAGAAGCACGCUGCCACUUUCCUUCUCAAUUUUCCCUUCUUGUUGUCUUUUGACGAUCAUGUUCAAUGUCAAAGUACGGGAAAUGGGAAGGGGUAUUGUGGCAAAUUUGAGGGAGGCAGAGGUUGAACUCUGACCUCCAGCAUCACUGAAGAGGGUGAUGAUCACUGAACCAAAUGGCCAGUGACGAAAGAAGUGCUCCAUGUACUAUAUAUUUUUCGAGACCAAUUCUUAAACUUAAGAACACGUUCCUUGUUAGGAAAUUGGCUUAAAAACUUUUAGGUAGAUUUCUUAUUUUGUGUGGAAGUAACUAGUUUCCUAAUUGGUUUUAGUUACUUGAAAUAGUAGCCAAGAAAUUCUAUUUAGUUUAGGAAAUAAUAUUGAUUUCCAAUUUUAUUUGGUUUUUUGGCAGUAAUGUUCCCUAUAAAUAGAUGGGUUGGCAUACCACACAAGGAGACACGAGGACACACAAUGGACACAAGAGGCAUCAUGUAGCCUUAUACAUGGGGUGUGAGAGAGGGUUCUUGGGAGAUGAGAGAUGGUAUACAAGGGUUGGACUUGGGUUCAAAUUGUAUUCUUGUAUAGGGUUUUCCUCUCAUAAUAAAGAACAGGUUUCUCUCCGUGGAUGUAGGCUCAAUGGUGAAGUCGAACCACGUUAAAUAUUGUGUGUCAUUUAUCUUUCAUGCUUGUGACUUGUUUCUCAUUAAAUUGUUGUGUACUUGAUAUCUCAAUAGUUGUUAUUCCGCGCCUGGAUCCCAACAAGUGGUAUCAGAGUUUGGUUGUGAGACUGGGCUGCUUAAGGUUCAUAGUUGGAUCCUAGUUAACUAUUGAGAUCAAGUGGAUUGGUAGUUGUCACCAAUUGAACAAUUUAAUAGGUGGUAUCCUUGUUUCAAUGGCUUGGGAAAAACCAGUAAUGGUGAAGGAUGGGAAGUCGAAAAGCAUGGAAAUGCUUGACAGUGAAUCUAAGCAGGUGAUUCAAGGGUCAAGGAAAAGGUGGAGUCCAAUGUUGAUUUUGGACGUGAAUCGGUGGAGACUUUCUCACACCUCCAACGGUUGAUUCUUCAUCCCGGUGGAUUUUAGAUUUUGGUUAUGUUUUUUGGGUGGUGUGGCACGUGUCCCAAAGAAAUAAGGAGAUCUAAUUUCUAUGCGCCAGAAGACUCUGACAGGUACGAGUUUUUCGUUUUAGGUGGAGUCUUGGAAACCACAUGUGGCGAGGCAGUCCUGAGGAUGGGAAGAAGUAUGGUGACUUUACCACUUGAUUGCCUCAAUGGUUAGGGUUAGAGCUCACAGAAGGGAAUCCCAGAUUGCAAGUGGUGGUGAGAAGAAAUCCUGCAAAGGGAAAUGGUGAAUUGAUGCACCUUCUCACGAGUCAACUGGAGGUUGGACUCGGGGUAACUACACAUGUUCAUUUGCCGAUUGAAUCAAUUUGGUGUCAGGGCUGUAUUGAUUCAGGUGUGUAGUUUGGUACCAUAUUAUUUGGUAGUUGAAGACAAAUGGUUGCUAAAAGAAAUUUUCGCCAAGGUGGAGAUUUGUUAGGAAAUUGGCUUAAAUUCUUUUAGGUAGAUUUCUUAUUUUGUGUGGAAGUAACUAGUUUUCUAAUUGGUUUUAGUUACUUGAAAUAGUAGCCAAGAAAUUCUAUUUAGUUUAGGAAAUAAUAUUUGUUUCCAAUUUUAUUUGAUUUUUUGGCAGUAAUGUUCCCUAUAAAUAGAUGGGUUGGCAUACCACACAAGGAGACACGAGGACACACAAGGGACACAAGAGGCAUCAUGUAGCCUUAUACAUGGGGUGUGAGAGAGGGUUCUUGGGAGAUGAGAGAUGGUAUACAAGGGUUGGGUUUGGGUUCAAGUUGUAUUAUUGUAUAGGGUUUUCCUCUCAUAAUAAAGAACAGGUUUCUCUCCGUGGAUGUAGGCUCAAUGGUGAAGCCGAACCACGUUAAAUAUUGUGUGUCAUUUAUCUUUCAUGCUUGUGACUUGUUUCUCAUUAAAUUGUUGUGUACUUGAUAUCUCCAUAGUUGUUAUUCCGCGCCUGGAUCCCAACAUUCCUAAUCUCUAUAAGAGGAGAGAAUUAGAAUUUCACGUUCACAAAUAUAACAUUUGAAAAGUAUUUUCGAUAGAUUAAUACCCCACACAGAAAAAAGCAUAAUCAAUCAUUCGGGGUUGCUCCAUGCAUCACCACCCCUCAGCUACCAUAUAAACACGGAUUGUUGGAGCGGGCUCAAAUCCCUGAAUAUAUACAUAUCUGAUUCAAAAAAAAAUCCAAGUUUGUUGAACAAUCUGCCUAACCAGUAUUAUAACUAUACCAUCAGGAGCAUCAGGGAACUCUACACACACACACACACACAGAGAGUAAAAUGGCUUUCAAAUUAAGCAAACAGUUGGAAGUUACUUUGCCUCCCAAGUAACUUGGGAGACAAAUGAAAAGUUUUCAACGCUUAAAGAAGAAAGAAAAAGGGCUGCAAUUUUUAUGGCCCGGCCUUAAAAGACCAAGCUUAUCAUUCAGGUGCAAAGAGGAAAGUGAUCACUCAGCUUUGUUUUUGGAUCUUAAAGUAACUAUUGGGAGGUAAUUAGGUAAAGCAUAAACCUUUUUCCUCUGAUUCCUACGACCAGUUCUCCUAAAGCAACCAACUUUCAUGGGUUUCAAUAAUUUGUGUACAACGAUCAAAUUUAGCAGCCUAGCCAGCGCCCAUCCUGUAAGGCAUUUGCUUUUUUCAUAAUGGGCGAGCUGCUGUCUCUUCCUUUCUUUUGACUUUCAUUGGGAAAAGAGCGCCUACUGGAACUUCUAUCUAUCUAAUGAUUCUUUUUAUCGCCAAGUUCCUAGUGGGGAUCGAAAUAAGAUUAAAGUUAAAAAAAAUAAUAAUAAUAAAUUGAAGCAUUCUCUGAAGGAAGAAAGAGAGUUUUUAUCUAGUAACUAAGGUUAAAAUUCCAAAAAUUUAGAGGUUUAAAUCCACUUCUUCCUUCCGUUUUUUUUUUUUUUUGGUUUAAAUCCCAUCGUUCUCCUAUCUUUUUUUUUUUGGGGGGGGGGGGGGGGGGGGGGGGGGGAGUAAGAAAGAGACAAAGAGUAGCUUACUUACACGAGCAACCCAAUUAUCGCUUAAGGCGGAAUUCUUCUCAAGGUCAUCAGGCUAAUUAAUGGCAAUUAACCGGAAAUUUAGCCACCCAACGCUAUCAGAAUUAUGUUGAUGUGACGUCUCGUAUCUGAACUAACACCCUUUUAUUAACUCCAUCGGAAAAAUCUGUUUUCCGGUAACUUUGCAUGAUUGAAUUCAGAUUACUAGGCAAGUUUCAUUUUGUAUGGGACUGGCUAACCUAAAAUCACACACACGGGGGCAAUCUGUUCGUUGAUUCCACUCCAUAUGCAUAAUAAAUAAACCAGCCCCGCCCGCCUUUUCAAAGUUCUACUAACAGACUUGGAUUCUUGGAAUGAGUUCUGUAAUCUUUACCUUCUUUUCUGUUUUCCAUUUGUAAAAUAGCGCAGGUAAUUCCGGGUUCCAACUCCUCAGAUGAAGAUCAUGAAAGGUGCCUGCGUGCGUUUUCUUUGACAAAACGGAAUCUAGCAGUUCAUUGGUCCCCCUCACAACUCCAUAAGAUGAUGCUACCGUUUUAUAAUAGAGAGGUUUCUUGAAAAAUAAUGGUAGAAUCAUCAAGGAAAAGCGACUUUUGGCUUGUAAUUAGUUACCGGGUCGCUAGAACCAUACCAAAUACCUCCUCUCCUCCACCUGCUCCAAAGUCCAACCACCCCUUCCUUCUACCUCCACUAAACCACAACAUCCAUAGAUCUAGAUGAUGGAGCUGCUAAUCCACUCUCAGAUGAAGAGCAUUUGUCAAAAUCAGUGAAACUUUAUAUCAUUGCCCCAAUCAACUAGAGUCGUAUCUGCUUCAAUUCACUGAAAGUGAACCAAUUAAAGAUACAAAAUAUAUAGCCGCCAAUCCUAGCUGUAUUGGGUGGGGUUUGGACUGUCAUCUUCAUGUUUGACAUGUACCCUCUUGCUUCAACGUCUAUUUCGCCCUGUCUUUAGUUCUCGGCAUCUUUAAAAUCACACAACUUUCUCUCAUUAAUCCCCACGGGGGAGGAAUUCAGAACUCAGAACUCCAUCUGGAAUAUAUUGUCUGAAUCUCUCAACCGACAAAGGGGAAAUGAAGAACAAUCUCAGCAGCAGCACGAAGCUUAUCCUCCUCCAUCCUUACAUCCAAAAGCAGGGCAGCUCCAAUAGGCUAUGGCUUCUUGCAUUCAUUUCAUUCUUCACUCUGGCCUUCCUUCUCACCCUGAUUUACACCAGGGAAUCCAUCACAGCUACAACAGCUGCGGCUGCCUCGGCUACAACUGGCUCCAGCAUUAAUCUUCCGCUGUCGAGUUCCGUCGUGAGGGCGCUUGUUCACUAUGCUUCCAACUCCAACAACACCGAUCACAUGUCCCACACCGACAUCAAACAGAUAUCCGAUGUCCUCCAGAAAUGCCGGAGCCCGUGUAAUUUCCUGGUGUUCGGCCUGACUCCUGAAACCCUUCUCUGGAAAGCCCUGAAUCACAACGGGAGAACAGUAUUCAUCGAUGAGAAUCGGUACUACGCUGCGUACAUUGAAGAAAAAUACCCAGAAGUCGAGGCCUACGACGUGCAGUACACUACCAAAAUAACAGAAGCGAAUGAAUUGAUUGCAGCAGUGAAGGAACAAGUUAUGAAUGAAUGCAGGCCGGUGCAAAAUCUCCUAUUUUCCGAGUGCAAGCUCGGGCUGAAUGAUCUGCCUAAUCAAUUUUACGAAGUUGAUUGGGAUGUUAUUUUGGUAGACGGGCCUCGAGGGUACUGGCCAGAAGCGCCUGGCCGGAUGUCGGCCAUCUUCACGGCAGGUGUUCUGGCUAGGAGCAAAAAAGGCGGGAAUACAAAAACGCAUAUUUUUGUGCAUGAUUUCAAUCAAAAGGUGGACAGAACCACCAGUUAUGAGUACUUAUGCAAGGAAAAUUUGGUGAAAUCCAAAGAUAUGCUCGGACAUUUUGUCCUGGAAAGAGCGGAUGCGAAUGUUUUUCAGUUCUGUCGCAGCAAUUACACCUCAUCACCAGCUUCUUCAUCAUCAUCGUCGUCGUCGUCGUCGUCGUCGUCAUCUUAGUUGGUAAUGUGCGUGUCAACACAAAUAAGUUUAGUCCUUUGCCAAUGAUCAGGAGGCGAACAAUUAGAUUACUCCUAUUUAUCCAUCUUUCAAAUUUUGACAUUUUGCUCGCUCCACCAGCUGCUGCUGUUGGUUGCAUGUAAAAUAAAAAUUUUUUUUUUUGGGUUUUUGGCAUGUAAAAUGUUAAUUGUUUGUGUUAUAAUUUUCAUAUGCAACCUGAAAACUUGAAAGGAAUCAACAAUUUGAGUCGUGUCGUGGAAGUUUUAAUUUCUGCUCGAGGAAGAUAAAAACUUGGAAACUACUAAAGUGCUGCCUGGAUUGGCAUACAGAUUACUAUUAUUCUGUACCUAAUCCAUUGAUAUCCUAUAUAUUACUCUACAAUCUCUGGGGAGAAGGUGCGGCAGUACGUUAGAGAAGUACCUGCAAUUUGUUCAAAAUAGACAUUUUGUGAACAAAAUGUCUAUUUUGAACAAAUCGCAGGUACUAUAUAUAUAUAUAAGGUUCAAGGAAUACUAUAAGCUCUGUUUGGAUUGGUCAUUUUUUGAAAAACAACCUCAAAAACAUCAAAAACAACUUUAAAAAAAAACCAAAAACAUAAAAAAAAAAAAAAGCAACAUCAAAAAUAUAAAAAACAACUUCAAAAAUAUAAAAAAUAACCUCAAAAAACACCAAAAACACAAAAAAAUAACCUAAAAAAUAACCUCAUUUACAGCAAAAAGUUUUUUACUUACGUUGCUACAGUAAAAUAUUUCAAAACUACCUCCAAAAACAGCCAAUCCAAAUGGAGUCAUAAUCCUUUGAGAAGGGAAGGGGAAGGGGUAGGGUUGAGAUUUAAAACCAAUGACUUAAAAGUUCAACUUGGAAGACAUUAAUUUCUGGGCUUUUUUUUUUAACGUUCCAGUACCGCCAAGGGCCCAAACUGCCAUUCCAUUUCCAUUCAGAGCCUAAUUGCUUCUUAAAAACAUGUGAUGGGAUUCCUACAUGUUGUUGAAGUUGAGUCGAGCAAUUCUUUUUGUGAGGCUACAUUUCAAUUUGAAUACCUCAAAAUUUGGAUUCGAUUCAAUUCUUUUACAAGAUGUCCAGAAUACUCUGGAAUCUCAAUCCAAUAGAAUGAUAUAGUUACUCCAGUGGAUUUAUCCCUCGUGAAUAAAAAUGGGGAACUGAUUUUCUAAUACCAAUGGGCACUAGGUUAGCAAAGAAUCAUAAAUAUUGAUCCUUUUUUGUAACUACGCUAAUAUUGGGUGACAUAACAAAUUUUAUUUUUAAGUAGGCUCAAUUUAGAAAUGCCGUUUACCCUCACGAGGAAUAAGUAAAUCUCUUUAAUUCUUCUCUUCCACCAAGUGUGUGUGUGAGAGAGAGAGAGAGAGGACUUAAAAGAGUUGUUUUUCAAAAAAAAAAAAAUUGAAAGAGUUAAUUAAAAGUUUGGGGCCUUGGUUUUGGGGGGUGUUUGGGGGGAGGGGGAAAGGUCGGGGGUUAAAGUGAAAUUACACAUAGUUAUUAUGUGACAAGUGCGAAGCUGCAGGCCGCAACGUUAUCAUAAUGGCAUGUGUUGCCAAUGAUCAAGUGACGAUGUUUACUCGGUUGGCAUCUUUCUCCUUGAGUUGUAGUCGGGGGAUAGAAAAGAGAACCACAGAGCUCCAACAACACCAUCGCAAUGACCACCGACUUUAAAACCCUCCCCCUUAUAGGUAACAAAUUUCUUUCACAAAACCCAAGAAUUCUUUUCCCGUCAUUUUCUUUUUGCCAUUUGUUGCAUAAUUUCUUCACUAUAGUUAGCCACCCUGCAAAGAUAAGGAGAUUAAAGAAAAAACAUGACCAUGGUUUCUUUCCUAAUAGUUUUCUUUUAUGCAGUUUCUUUCCUAAGUUGAGGAACACAGAACAAAAGUGGCAGGGAAAAAGCUAAUUAUGUUAUAGUAGUUUAGUUACGUUGAUUGGAUUCAGGGAACGGGAAUACUCAGUCGUUUUCCGGCUUCGUUACCCUGGGAGGAAAAAGGAUCUUGACUGUUGUAUUUAUCUGUAAUUGUCAGCGCAAGGUUUUGAAUAUCCAAAUUGCUAUUUUGGUCUCUUUUUGUUGCCAUUGUUGAACAUAUCCCUGCUGAAUAUUUUACGAUUUCACUUAAAGGGAAAUUGUAUUAUCACCAUUUAAAGUCCUAAAGUUUCAAUUUCUGUCUCUAAAAAAAAAAAAAAACUCUUGGAUGUUGGUCAUAAAGGUCACGCUACUUGGUUGAGUACUACUAGUAUAUGAGAACUGACAUUUGCUCGUCUAAGUUGUUUGCUUCUUCUGCUUCUUUGUUUGAAUCUUGCCUAGAUGUUAGUCCUCUUUUGGAGAAAUGGGAUGAUCCAAGCAUGGCUCAAGACAAAGGCGUGGCCGAUGUUGUGCGACAGUUGGGUCAGGCAUGUAAAGAAGCAGGAUUUUUUUACGUGGUAAUUUAUUAUGCUUAAAUGACAUUUUCGUGGUCUUUGACCAUGCAUACUUAUAACAAGAAAGCAUGUAGCAUUUCUUGAUUAAAGUAUCGAGACACUUAGAUUGUUCUACGCUGGUUUAUUUUAGUGGCUUAGAUGGCAACCAAUUUUAGUUUACUGGCAUACGAAUGCAAAACUAGAACUGCUAGGGUUCAUGAAUUUAGGAGGCUGCAUUACUAGUUGAAUAUUUUCAUCUCUGUUUCUUACCUAGGCAUGUAGGUAGAAGAUGGUCCUGUUAGAGUUCAUCUCCACCUGUUUGAACUGCUUCACAAGUAUAAUUUGAUUUUUUUUGCGGUACUUUAGUUUUGAGUCACUCACAAGGUACUUGGAAUACCUACAACCUCUUCUUUUCAACCUCUCUGCUUCUCAUUCUGUCUACUAAGUGUUUGUAUAUACGCCUAAAGUUGACUUUGGAUUGCACAGAAGGGCCAUGGGAUCCCUGAUUCCCUUGUCAAAGAGGUCAGAAACAUAGCACAUAGAUACUUUGAUUUACCUUAUGAGGAGAAAAUCAAGAUCAAACUCUCUGCAACAACUGGAUACAGGUUUGCUUCUUGUGGAAUGAUUUGAUAUCUAGUAGGGUAUAUGUAGGGUCAAUAUUUUAGUUCCGAUUCAGGCUUCAUCCUUUUAUUUCUUACUAGGAUAACUUAACAUUUUGAUUGCAGAGGAUAUCAGCAUGUUGGAGAAAAUAUAACCAAAGGAGUACCUGAUAUGCAUGAAGCUAUUGACGUAGGUUUUACUUUGCUCUAGGUCAUACUAUCAUGGAGAUUAUUCUAUAUAUGUACUUUGUCUUGCUGAGUUUGAAUUUUUGGUAAUUACAAAUUUUAAUCUUUCAUUAACCUUGUAAAACAUAUAUUUACAAACCUUUGCUGGCUAUAAAUCUGGUAAUCUAUCUGUAGAAUGAAGGGCCUUGUGAACACUCAAUCGGUCCUGCCAAUGCGUGUGCAAGUUCAAGCUGAGUUGAAUUUGCCUGCCUAACUGUACCUUAUUAAGGCUUUCUGUGCUGGGGACUUUAUCUUACACCUGCUGUUCUAGAUGUUAUUUGGACAUGUUUUUAUCAUAGUGAAAAACCAAAUAAACACUGCCAUGGGAAAGAACUGGGGAUGCUUGGGUUCGAAUAUUCCUUGACAACAAGCUGUUACCGACUUAAUGCGUCGUACUAAGUUUAUAUGAUAAUUCCAGGGUCAUUUUUUGAAAUUAGUGAAGGAGAGGGACAUGCUGAAGCCAUUAGGCAUCAUACAUAUGCUGCAUCUGUUGUACAUAGUGUCUUCAUGAAUUCAACAUCUCAAAGUACGCAUUAUCUUUCCUUUCUAACAUUUUUAUGCGGAAAAUUAUGUUUUCUGUAUUCAUGAAUCAAAUAAAACUCGCUCCUCAAUUACAUGAAUAAUGAGACUAAAACUGAAAUGAAGCUAGAUGUUUUCUUCUGCUUCUUAGUUCUGGAAAAUUUUAGAAUAAUAUAAACUGUAUCUUUUUUUGUUUAUUUUCAACCUCUAUAUUUCUCAUUUUCCUUUUUUUUUUUUGUUUUGGAGAAUAUCUGUGGUGAUCACAAUGAUAUAGUGAACUAUAUUUUGUAGCUUUAUAUUUUGCAAGCAAAGAAUAUGGAUGUGGUUCGUGUUAGCUUAUAUGCUAUCAUUAUGCUCUUGUAGCUCUUGCAGCUUUCCUCAUCAAUUUAAUCCUCCAGAUCAUUUUCAGUCUUUUGCUUUUGGAUAACAGUGCUAUAAAGAAGUCAAAAAAGGAAUGUAUGGAGCUCUUGGUGAAACUAUGCAAGGUUCUAAUAUAUGGUAUGUGAGAAGCCAAACUGUUGUCUUUUAUGGAUAUGGCAUGAAGUUGAAACACCAUUGAGGGUUACAAGUGCUUAUCCAAACAAGAAAGAAAGGGAAAAAGAAAAAAAAAUUAAAAAAGGAACUCCACAACCUAUCACAAUUUACUCUCUCUCUCUCUCUCUCUCUCAUCCAAAACCACAGGCACAACAUUCUAGUAUUCACAUACUUGGUAAGCUUGUUAUUUUUCUGGAAGAAUUGAGUACUGCCUGCACAUGGUAACAAGUAUCUUUCCUGGUGUGAAUGACAUAUUGUUACCUUCUGUAGGCCAAGUCAUCCGCCGAAUUUCAAAAAAUUGAUGGAGGAGUAUGUCAACCUUUGCACAGGUGCAUUUUGAGUGAAAUUAUAUACCAUUAGCUGGGUUACUGCUUUAUCUCUGACUCCAGUCCAGUGAAUCUGACUUGAAAGCUAAAUGUCGACAGAGCUGUCUAGAAAAAUUAUGCGGGGAAUAGCUCUGGCAUUGGGUGGAUCACCAGUUGAAUUUGAAGGGACAAGAGCCGGUGAUCCAUUUUGGGUGCUGCGUAUAAUUGGCUAUCCUGGUGUCUCCCCUGCAAGUGGCCAAGACAUGCCAAAAAAUGAUAUUGGAUGGUGAGAUUGCUGAAGAUGGAUUUCAUCUUCUUUUAUUUCACUUCUAGCACUUGAUUGAUGUGAUUUUGUGCUUCUUUAUGUCUUUUAUCCAAAUGAAUGCAGUGGAGCCCAUACGGACUAUGGUAAGAUUCCCCAUCCUUGUUUGGUGUAAGCAUGAGGUGUUCCUAUUUAUACGUGAAGAUGAUCUGUUGUUCUAUACCAGGUCUGCUGACGUUAGUCAAUCAAGAUGAUGGUAUUACUGCUCUUCAGGUAUCGCCCUCCUGUCUACUUUCUUCUUUAUUUGCCUUCAUUUUUUAGCAUUAGUGUGUAUCCUGAAGUUCUUCGUGUUAAACUUGGGUCUGUUUCAUUAGUUUCUGCUUGAAAUAUGCAUGUUUCUCUGUGUUCCAUUGACGCCACUCUGCACUCUUAAAACUUUCAUUAGUUUCUGCUUGAAAUAUGCAUGUUUCUCUGGUUAUUCAUUGUCACUACUCUGCACUCUUAAACUAGUCCCUUUGUAGGUAAAAAACGUUUCCGGAGAGUGGAUAUCAGCACCACCCAUUCCUGGGACAUUUGUUUGCAAUAUCGGUGACAUGCUGAAGGUAUGCAUCUCAAUAAUUGAUUCUCCAGUGGUUUUCAUACUGUUAUCCGAUAACUGUUGUUAAUAUUUGGGAAUCUUCAGAUUCUAUCCAAUGGCCUUUAUGAAUCAACUUUGCAUCGGGUGAUUAGCAACUCUCCCACUUAUCGGGUCUGCGUGGCCUACUUUUAUGAGGUAAUCCUCUCUCUUAAUUUUCCUUUUUUAUUUUGAUUCAGCUUCUUAAUCAAUCUCCUUGGUUUUUUUCACAUGAAUAGCCAAACUAUGAUGCUGUAAUAGAGCCAUUGGAUGCAUGCGUAAAACAAACUGGUGGAACCACAAGGUUUGAAGUUGCUGUUUACAGUAAACACUUGGUCAGUAAAGUCCAGACAAAUUUCAUAUACUGAGGAAUGAUUCUCCCCGUUAUGUCUGUUUCGACUGAAUCUCUCACAUUCACGAAUUUUGGGGAUUUCAUCUGUUAGCCGUUGAAAGAAUGUACAAUAAUAUCUGUGUUUAUUGGAAUAAGUUGUCGGUUGAUUCAGUAUGACAUGACCUCAUCAAGUUCUCGGAGUUUUUUGAACUCUGUACCUAGCCGAUGCCCGUUUCUUUCAUUUGGUCUUGCCUUGAAUUGUGCAAUUAUGUUGGCGUAUCAGUAUUCAUAAAGCACCUUCAACUUUGGAACAUAAAUAUAAGCUGGUUGGCUUAGGCUUUAACUAUAUGUAUUAAUGACAGCGAUGGUUUACUGUAUACACUUGUAAAAAAUUUCGCUUACGGAGGAAGAUUUUUCUCCUCCAGCUUCUGACAACAAAAUACAUACACACACUAGUAUUACAGCGUAAUGAUAAGGUAGGCAUUCAGGCGGCUGGCUGCCGACACCGAAAUUCACGAGCCGGGCUCUUUUAAAGCAGCAUAUGUCGGCGAUGGAGGCCUUGCCCGCUUGGGCACAUGAUCGGAUGCCUGUGGUGGGCCCUUAGAAACAUUAAUGCCGCAGGGCACGUAGUUGAGCGAUUUCGGGUCCGGGCAAGUCCAGUGCUUUGAGAAGAAAGCCUUGCAUUCCUCGGGGCUUCUUUGGCAAGGAAGGUCUAGAAUGCAAUUCAUGGUUACGUUCAGGACUUUCUUCUCGAUUAACUUCCUGCAUUCUGGUCCGACUUGAGUGAAGUAAUUGAACUUGAGGUCCAGUACCUCCAGGUCGCCCAGGAUGCACAAGCUCUCUGGAACCGCCCCGUAGAAUUGGUUGUACGACAAGUUCAGCUGCUGAAUAUCCUUCAAGCACCCGAAUGAUUGUGGAAUGGGACCUGUCAAUUGGUUUAUGCUGACAUCCACAAUAUGUGUUUUAUUCAGAAACCCAAUCUCACACGGUAGGCAACCGGAGAGGCUGUUGUUUAAGAAAAGAACCUCGAGGAGAUUUCUGGAAGUUUGGCCAAUGCUCCUGGGGAUUGGGCCGGUUAAUUCGUUGUUUGCAAAGGUGAGAUAGAGUACAGGGGUUUGGCCAAGAUUGUCGGGGAUGUUUCCGCAGAAUGCGUUGUUGUUGAGGAAGAGCACGUCCAGGUCUAGUGUGAAGGCUUGAGGCGGGAUUGUCCCCGUUAACUGGUUGAACCUGACGUCCAGGUAUGUCAAGUUGGUUGCCCCUAGGGCUGCAGCGGGGAAAGCUCCUACGAGCUUGUUGUUGCUCAGGUCGAACUCGAAGAAGUUUGGAAGUUUGGAUAUUCCAAAGGGAAUGUCACCUGUGAAGUUGUUGGAGUUGACAUGGAAGAUUACCAGGUCCUUGAGAUCUUCAAUGAAGUCUGUUGCAACGAGUGGGCAGCCAGGUCCGCCGUUAAAGUUGUAGCCAUUGAAAUUGACGCCAACGACUCUAAACUUGUUGUCUUUGGUGCUUCUGUCGCAUACGAAGCCUUUGUAUUUGGAAUUGUCGAAACAGAUGCGCUUGCCCGUCCAGGUUUUGGUGAUGCCAAAAGGGUCGUACUUUAUUCUCCUUUUGAACCUUUGGAUUACUUGGAUGGCCAUUUUUAGUUCCUUGGAAAGAGUAAAUGGAGGGGGCGGUGGCGGUGGAGGUGGUGGACAGGGAGGAGGGGGCGGAGGUGGUGGUGGUGGCGGCGGCGGGGGUGGUGGUGGACAGGGAGGAGGGGGUGGUGGCGACGGGGGUGGCGGUGGUGGCGGUGGUGGCGGCGGUGGGGGUGGUGGUGGACAAGGAGGAGGGGGCGGUGGCGACGGGGGUGGAGGACAGGGCGGAGGUGGUGGAGGUGGACAGGGUGGAGGGGGGGGUGGAGGCGGAGGCGGAGGCGGUGGACACUUGGCCUUGGGGGGAUGCAUUGGAGGAUAUGCGGGCUUUGGAGGGGGAGGGGGAGGGGGCUGUGGGCAAUGUUGGCAUUCUCCAUUGUCAGGAGGGUAGGCAGGGGAAUAGGGAGGACUGCCACCCCCUAUGACGAUUUGGAGUGUUUCCCUGUUGAUGGGGGUAGUUGGUGGAGUACCAUUACCAACGACUUGAUAAAACCAGCAAGAGUGCAGGAUAACAAAGAAGACAAGAAGAGGAAAUGUGAGUGAGAAAGUGCUCUCCCUCUCCAUAUUCCAACACUUCUGAUGAUUGAACCAGGAAGAAGGCACAACGUAUAUAUAAUAUGCUGAUGGGGAGGGAAUGGAGGACCCAAUGAUCGGUGAGGUUUAAUGCGGGUGGUUCAGUGAUUUGAUCCAUACUGCCAAUAAAGAGGCUUAAUGCGGGUCCUUCAAUAAAGAGGUUUAAUGCAUUCUCCAUAUUCCAUUUUCUGUUGUUUUGGGCACCAUGAGUGGGGAGGCGUCCUCAUGCAAUAUGUAGAUUCUUUCACAUACAUACAUAAAUUUAAAAAAAAAAAAAAAAAAGAUCGAAAAGAUAAAUAAUAUGUUAAAAAAUGUGUUUAUAAUAAUACAAGUAAAUAAUUUUUUGAUAAAUAAGCAUUUUUAAUCGUAAAAUGCCAUUUCUGCAAUUGUGAUCUACUCUCAGAUAGUAUUGGAUUUUUAUUUGUAGCAAGGUAGGCCACCAAAGUGACAUCAGCCGUUUCAAAUGCUAAGGUUAUGUUUGGAUUGCAUGAAAAAUGACUGUAGCGAUUUGAUAUAUGUGAGGGAAAAAGGUGAUAGGGAAAUGUGAUCACGGAAAACGAUAAUAUUUUCCGACGAAAACCUUCAAUCCAAGCAAGGCCUAAGUUCUCCGCUUUUUCUUUAUUAAAAAAGGUAGGCCGUCUUUUAUUCUUUCUAUUUUCUUUUCUGCUUUAACGUGAAGAGUGUCUUUUUUUUUUUUUUUCAAAAGCUUGAUUUUGAUUGUAAACCUGCCCAUCCGUUCCGAAAAUAUUUAAGAUUUACCGGAAAAAAAAAAUAAAAACUACAACUCAUUAGCUACAGCUAUCUUUACUCCGAUCUACUUAGAAAUAAGAACGACACUUUCACUUAAAAAAAAAAAAAAAGAAAAAAGAAAGAAUAAUACGUCGAUAACACGACGCACUUAGCUAGCACCUGCAACGGCUGUGAAUCCGUUCCCUUUCAAAACCAAAAAGUCAGUUGCCCCAGCGCUCCGCUUUCACAAAAGGCAAUACCUACACAAACGGCGCAGCAAGUAGGGGAUAGUAACCAGUAGGACAAAACUUCGCAUGAUUGACCUUUCAACGAGGAUCUGUCCUCUUACUAUUAUUUCCCUCCCAAUGCAAUUCCGGAGGAGCCAUCCCAAUCGUCAAUACAUCCUACUUCCAAUCUUGUGCAUGUGCACUUCCUCCUUGAUGGCCUACUGUGUCGCAGUUGACGUGUGCAUCCCCAUUCGUCUAUUCUCACCGGCAUAAACAUUUUACACUCAAUUUUGUAUCUGCACUAACAAACUGUUCCCCUAAUAUAUCUUUACAGGCUACUCAGAUGCCAAGGAAAAUUAAAUAUCUUCAAGAGGGAACAAUAGGUUCCACUCUGCCUUUCCCACAGUUCUAUAACUGCCCUUUUUUGCUGUCUUCUCUGGACGAGUUCUAUUUUCAUUCCAUCUUUUACUAUUUUAAUGCAAACUUGGGCCAAAAAAAAAAGGGGUUCAUGAAUCCACCAAGUUAAGGUAUUUAAAUUUUCUGGCACAAUUUCACCACCAAAGUAUUCCUUUAAAAUUCCUAAAGCUUUGCCUUCAACAAUGAUGACCAUCCAAUCUGCAGCCUAUGUCAGAUAGUGAAGCAGCAAAAAGAUAAAAGAGGAAAGUAGAAAACAAGGCAGCUAAACGUGAUGCAUGAAAUUUCAACUGUCAGUGGCACUCGUAUGGUUUCUAACUUGUCCGACACUGGCGCGCACAGUUUUGCUAACACACUAGAUUUUACUGCACUUUUGUCUACAAAGAGAUGUCUAAAUGCUACUGAUAGGAUAGACGAAAACCACUACUCUGCAAAAGGAAGGAAGAUGGAACUUCAUUAUGAUUACAAAGAGCGCUAUGGUGAGAAAACUAAGCAAUCUUUAACCAAAUUCAAUGAAGCCAAGAACAGAAUGACACUGAGGAAGCAUAUAGUGAAACAGUGUUUCACACCGGCAAAUGUCUAAGAAAUGCAAAAGCUAAUACAAUCAACUCAGAACAAGUUACCCUUGGAAGGCACUAUUACCUCACCAACAGCACUGAUCAAGCAAAUAAAUUUCUUCAUUAGCUUGCAACUCUUCAGGCGAAAGAUUGUAAAAAAUUUUAAGCUAAAGUGCUGAUUACCAAGCAACAGAGUGAAGUACAUUCAUGAUACUUUAGGACCAUGAUUAACAAAAUUUUCCGGCUCAAAAGCCAAAUAAUGGCAGAAGAAGGAUAAAGUAACUUCUCUUACCUCAUCACAUGUCACAGGAAGAAUCAAGAGGUACACUGAGGUGUUGUAAUCAACUCUCAUGCUGUUAACCUCCUCAUUCAACUACUUGGACAUUACUUUCACUAGUAGCAAGCUAACAGCUAUUGACUAGCAGUAGAAAGAAUAACAGUGUAACUCAACCUCCUCAGACACCACUUUGGCAGAAUUCUAUACAACAGCAAGCCUCAAAUAUGAAAUCUCUUCCAGGACCAUAAAUCUCAUGUCGCAAAUCCAUUUGCAGAUACCCUCUCCACUCUGCUAUCCUUCACAUAGAGUGGUAUCCUCACACCAAGAUCCCUAAGUCGAUUAACCACGUCGUAGAGAAACUCAAAUGUGAGUUUUGAUUGUGCAUUAAGGUCAUCUCUUACAGUUGGAUGCACCCUGAACCAAUCUCCUAGCAUCUUAUGCACAUGGGAACGAAUCAUUCUCCAUGGCACUGGAUAACUCUCACAAAACUUUAAAUAUUCAACUAGUAAAUCCGCCUGGUCCAGCUUUCCAUCUACACAGAUAUCAUCACUUCCUGAUACCCAUUUGACAGUACGGUAUCCAGCAAAAAGGGCUGGGUUUUCCAGCAGAGACUCAGCUGAAAGUACCCCCUCAACCCCAGUCUCUUCCAAACAGCUCUGCACAUCUUCCAUGUAUCUUAUAUUCCCAUUAGCCAGAACAGGGAUUCUCAUGACAUCUCUAACAGCCUUGAUGGCACUCCAAUUGGCACGAAAUUUCUUCCCAUCUUUUUCAUCCCUAGUUCGACCAUGUACUGCCAAAAGAGCACAACCAGCAUCUUCCAACAUCUUGGCAUAAUUGAUUGUGUCCUCAAAAUUCGCGAAAAGUCGUAUUUUGCAGGAGACUGGAACACUAAGGUUGUUUGCUAGUUUUUCUACCAUAGAUUUAACCAAAGGAAGAUUGUCCAUAAGGAAAGCUCCAUAAUUCCCUCGCCUAGCAAUACGCUGCGGACAUCUGCACGGAUGGCAAAUAUACAACGCUUAACUAAGGCUACUUUCAACCAAACUCAACGAAAAGUGAUUGUAAUGAUACAAGCUGACAGCAGGACAACUUCCAGAUGCCAGUUACAUGGAAUUGCAAGGAAAUUAUACUCGAAAGAAUUAGCCACGACAAAAAGUGAGCAAUCAGUAUAGUUAGAGUCAAUAUGGAAAAACUGUUCUAGAAUACAUGUACGAGCGAAUAUGGAGAUAAAUAUGCAGCACUAGGUGCGAUAUCAGCUUAAUGAAAAUGCCCGUUAUGUCAUUCAUUACUGGAGUUCCUCUUUAUACAGUAGUUAGCAAUAGUAGCUAAACAAGGAAGGAAAAACAUGGGUAGAAGGCAUUACCCCAAAUUGAUGUCUACAUAAUCGCAGUAGGGUUCUACUCUCCGCGCAGCCUCCAACAAUAUAUCUGGAUCAUUCGCACAAAAUUGCACAAAUAGCGGACGGUCCUCCUGUCAUUAUUUCUCAGCAAACUUCUCCUUAAUGAAAUUCAAAACUAUACAACUUCACAGACUAAGUAACACGAAGCAUAAGACAAGUAACUAAAAACAAGACCCGAAAUUACCUUGCAGGUGGUAAAUUCUUGAGAGCGGUACUUUUCAGUUUCGGUAAAAAUACGAGAGUGAAGCAUAGGGGUAUAAGCAGCUUGAGCUCCGUACUUGCGGCAAAGCAUGCGGAAGGGGAGCUCGGAGUUGUCGACCAUGGGGGCCACUAUGAACUUAGGUUGCCCAAGCUUCUUCCAGUGUGCCCAGGCUCUCUCGAUCCGCGACUCUCUGCUCAGGUACCCGUUUGGAUUUGGGGCCGGGAGGCCGUCCAAAUGGGCUGUCUCUCCUUCUGGUUCUCCUUGUGGUUCGGAACACAGGCGGUCGUCGUCGUCGCCGCCGUCUUGGUUGACGGCGACGUUGCAGUUUGACGAUGAAGAGGAAGUUAGGUUUUGGAUGGCCAUCAAGUUAUACGAUGAAUUGGGCGGCUGUGAGCAAAUACUACGUGUGGCGCAGAGUGGCUUCCUAAUAAAUCUCAUAAGGAGGCGAUGAAGGCUGGGGAGGGUACGCAGCCCAUGACCACCCUGGAAGUUCGCAACGGAUCUCCUAUCCCGUAUCCUGUGUCACUCUCUGUCCCACUUUUUAUUAUAUUGUUAUUUCUCCUUCACAAACAUCAUGUUUUAAUUCUUUUUUAUUUCCUUAAAAUCUAAUAACUAUUAAUUGAGUAAUACACAAAAUUUAACAAACUCAAAAAAUCAAAAUGCAUAAAAAUGAGAUUUUUUAUGAAUUUUUUGUUGUAUUUUUUAAUUUUCUAUUAUAUAUUAGUUUUUUGAAGCUUUUGUAUUUAUUUUUUACUCAAUUAAUAGUUAUUGGAUCAUAAGGAAAUAAAAAGGAAUUAAAACAUGAUGUUUGUGAAGGAGAAAUAGCAAUAUAAUAAAAAAUGGGACAGAGAGUGGCAUAGGAUGUGGGACAGAAGAUCCGUUGCGAAGGAAGUUGGUGGGGAAAUUUUUCCUUCAAUUUAUUUGGAGGGAGGAGGCGGGGACCCCGCGGGAUUAUGGCUGUUUUAGAUGGGUGAAAAAAAUCGGAUCCGGGGCAGGAAGGUCACGUGUAUUUUGUAACUCGAUUUGUACACAGAUACAGGGUUUGUUUGGAUUGAGCAUUAUUUGUCAAAUUAUAUCUGCUUACAUCAUCAUUACAAUUUCCAUCGCACCUUUUUAUCUUCCCAAUUACCUUUUUAUCUCACAUACAUCACAUCACAAAAAAUGCUACAGUAAAAAUAUUCCAAAUAACUUACAAUCCAAACAAACCUACAAUUUAUUUACAAUAACAUGUAACUCUGACACAGAAUUUUUUGAAUCCCACACAUAUUGUAAACAAUGAGGUGUAAAAUAAAAUCUGAAUCUUUUAAUUUUUUUUGAUCAAAUCUUAACCAUGAACUGUCAGGAACGGCGUAGACAUUCUUGCCCCUCUUCCAAAAAAAUCAAAUCUUUUCUUCAGACGAGGAUAGGGUUGUUUUUGGAGUUGAGGCUCCAAAUUGAUGCAUACUAAGUAACUUUUAAGCCGAAUUACAAGCUCAAGACAAUUAAUCCGAGUUACAUAAUAACUUGUAGGCUUGAUCUUACAUAGCAACUAGUAUUUUGAUCCGUGCUAUGCACGGAUUUAUAUGAGAAGGAAGAGAAAUAUGGUCAAAUACAACAUUAUUAUCCUUUUCCCUCAUAUUCUUCUUCUUUAUGCCACUUUUUCCACCUCUAAACCUCCUACUCUCCACUACUCUCUUUUUUAUUUUCUGAAUUUAACUUCCUCGCAUCCCUACAAUCUUUCGUAAUUCUUUGAAAUCCUACCCAAUUUUUUUGUAUUCCUACAACCUUUCUAUUUUUAUCAAAUUCUAUUUUCUCUUUGCUCUAUCUCGUUGCUACCCAAUUAUCCUAUCUCGUAUCUAAUUUUACAACCCACUUGUCUCCUAUUCUACUAUUAUUUUCAUCUAUUUAUAAAUGUAAAUGGUAACCUAUUUAUUUGGCUCACCUAUUAACAAAUGAAUUUGCGUGUGUAAUUUAAUUGGAUUGAAAUGGGUGACCAAAUUAACCCAUUAAUUAGUGGGUAUGAAAUUGAUAGAUUUGGAUCACUUAUUUUGACUUAAUUAAAUUAGAUGUAGAUUCAAACUCAAUCAUUAGUGGGUAAAUCUAAAUUACUCUAAUAAUUAUAUUCUAAUUUUUGCAAAGAUGUAUUCAUCUUUUUUCCUCUUCUUUAAUUUCUAUUAUUUUAUUUUUUAAAAUUUAUCCUACUUCCUUAAUUCCUUGCAUAAAGUUUCAUAAAUUUCGUGAAUAUUAAUUGAUUGUUUGCAUUAAUAUCUAAAUUAUUUUUAGAUUGUCGUAUAGUGAUAAAAUUUGAAACUCACUGUGAUGAUCAUUUUAGGCUCCUUUAAGCAAAUUUUUAUGUUUUUUCCUUUUUCUUUAGAUAAAAAUUGAUUUAUUAACUUGAUAUGUUGAUAUGAAUUACUAUUUUGUUGUUAUACAAAAUAUGGAUGAAAAAUUAAAUAAAAUUUGGUUGUGGGCUGUGAAUGGAUGAUUGGAUAAUCCAAACCCAUAUAAAAACUAUAUUCAUUGAUGAUUCGUCUAUUUUGAACCAUUAACUAAGUAGGAAUAUAUAGAUUAACCUUAUUAUAACUUGCCCAGACUCAUAUGAAUCAUCAAAUUUGAUAAUUGUCCUAUAAUCUUUACCUUCGCUAACCCUACAGUUCUAUCUUUUUAAUACUUUCACUAUUUAGAAUUCAUCAGCUCACUUUUUUAAGUGUUUUUGGAUAUAUAAAAAGUUAGAAUUAUUUUUCCAAGUUGCUGCCUCAUUUUUAAGUGUUUUUAAUCAAAUAAAAAGCUAGAAUUGCAAUCAUCGAGAAAAAGUAAACUUUCGGAUGUAAAAUUGGUGAAAUACAACCUUUUUAUCAAAAUUUUGCUAAAACACCACCAAAAGCAACCUUAUAAAUACACCUUUAUUAAUUUAAAAUUCAUACAUAAAUUUUUCUUUACAUGCACUUUUUGGUAUACAUGUGCUAAAUGAAAAGUCAUCUAGAUGCUUGCACGAUAUAAAUAUUGAAUUUAUUCUAAAUGCAAAUAAAAUGUCAUAAUUGUUAUUUACAUACUCCAAUUUAAUGUUAGAGUAUAAUUUCAACAUUCAAAUUUUAAAACUUUAAAAAAACAAACCUACUGAAUAAAAUCCAACAUAAAAAUAUAAAAUUUAUAAAAAGCAAACCUGUUAAAAUGCCCUAAGCUUGCUGAAUAAAAAAAAAGGGAUAAGUUUAAGACUGCACGAAAAUUGAUUUAGUAAUUGUAGCAUAAAUUAUUAAAAAAUAAGAGUAAGCGAGUAUAUCAUUAGAAGAUUUUGACAAAUGAUUAUUAUACCCAGAAGGAAAUCGAUAAAGAAAUAAUUGGGUGAAUAACUAAAAAAUAUGACUAAUCACAUUAUCUCGAGGAUUUGGCUAAAUAAAUUAAUCCUCUUUAAUGAAGGAACAAAAGGGGUUAGAGUGAUAAAGAUAUAAUAGGGUAAAUAAUUUUAAAAUGGGACUAAUCAAUUAUCCCUGAGAAUUUUGGCUUGACAAAUAUAUUUUAUUUAAUUAAGGAGUAAAAAAGACUUCAAGCAUAAAUAACAAACUAUAAAAUGGUUUAUGAAAGAGAUAGUGGGAAAGUUUUAAAUUUUAAAUUUAACUAGUGAUAGAAUUAGUUAUAACCCACUGUUUUAAAUUUUUUAAUAAGAUUUUAUGUAUUAAAAUAAAUACAAAAAUCUAGAAAAAAAUAGAAAAUUUGGAAGCCAUUGAGAGGGUCUCUGUUAAAAAUCCACUAUGCAAUAGAUAUAGAUAGAUAUCAUUUCCUUUUUACCUCUUAUCUCUGAUGUGGGAUAUCACAUAUAAUAUUAUAUAUACAUUAUUAGUAUAUAAAACUAGUGUGAAUACCCGUGCUACGCACGGUGCUGAUAUUAUUGAAAAAAUAAAAAUAAAAAAGUGAAUUAAAAAAGAUUAAAAAAUUGUACCAGUACAAUUAAAAUAUAAUAGUUGUCUAACAAUAAUUUGAAAUAUGAUAGAAUGUGUAUAUUAUUCAAAAAUUAUCUUUUUUUCGGAAGAUAGACCCUAAAAAAAUAAUAGAAAUUUAUAUUAGAAAAUGAAUGAUAUAUGAAUAAAAAUGAAUGUAAUUAAAUGUUGUUAAAAUAAAAUACUUACAAAUAUGAUACAUUCAAUUUAAUAAUCUUGCAUGAAGGUGCGAACACUCUUCACACCAAUCAACUUUUAGUACGAAAGUCAAAAUUGGUGAUUUAAUUAAUUCUGUUGAAUUUUGUGGAAUGCAUACUACAAAUGAAAAUGCACGAUCUUUGCAUGAAUUGAUUCGUUGGUUGAACAAUCUAUCACCAUUGUUCUGAGAAUUAAGUACGUGUGAAAUUCAAAAUUAGUGUAUUUUUUAUACAUAGUUUAUAAAUAGCAUUAUAAAAAAUAAACAUAUAUCAAGAAAUUCUAUCUUCCUUUGUAAUUUUUUGAGAUAAGAAGUAUUACAAUCAAAUAUGAAUCGUGCAUGUCUGUCCUGUAGAUUAAGAUGCAUGUUACCACUGAAAUUUUUGAUUUGUAUGUUAACAUUGUACCUGUUUGACCAAUAAAAUAUUAUAUACAAUACAGAAAAAUUUGUUGAAAUUAAAGAUACAUGAAAUUAAUUACCUAAUAACAGUGUCGACUAUGUCAUUACAAUGCAUACAUACUGUUUUUGAAAAACGACCUUCACAUAGUUAUUCACAAUUUUUGCAUAGUUCAUAGAACAUAUUUUCUAUGUUAAUGCUUUGAAUGUAAACAAGUAUUCGAAAAUAUUUAACCUAGUAAGAAUGAAAGAAGAUAUAGGUUAUGAUUAUAAAUUUAAAAUAUUUGUGCAGUAAUUAAAUUAAAUAGAGUAAGUUUACCGUAUGCAUAAUUGUAUAUUCGGAUAUCCAUAUUCUCUUUGAAUUUACUAUCAACAAUACUUGUGAUGUUGUAAAAUUGUUUGAUUUCAACCACAUAACUAACUUUCGAGCACAUGUAUCAUUUUCAAACCUACAAUUUUUUGAAAUACAUAUUGAUAAAAGUAUGAAACAACAUUAAAAGUUUGAUGUAGUGUUGUAACUCACCAAUUGCGCAGGUGUCGAGCAAAAUCUAAACUGUGAUUGAUAUACAAUUUGUUAGCUCCAAUUGUACAAAGUGAUGGUCCUGCAUAGUAUAGUUAUAUUCGUUAAAAAACUAGUCAAAUUAUAUAGAGUAUAUGUAAAAGCAUUUGUUUUACCUCUGAGAUUUCGUACGCAAAUACCAUAUGCUAAUAAAAUAUUAUUUUGUGUAACAGAUUGAUAUUAUAGGAUUUGUAGUAUAUUCAAUAACUUGAUAUUCAAAUCACCGAUGAGCCAAAGUUUGUCUAAAUAAUCUUUACAGUGUCCUAACUCCUUGUAAAAAAAAAACACUAAAUAGUCCUAAUUGGCAUCGCAAGUUACGGCAAUGUGCCAGUGCCAUCUAGGUCUAAUUUUUUUUUUGUCAAAAUCUAGUUCUAAUUGAUUUUACUGUUUUUUGAUCAUAUUGUAUGCUUGCGAAUUAAAAUUGUAUUAAAAUAGCAUGUGAAUGAGCAUUUGUCUUUAAUUAAUGAGUAAAAAGAAUUUAAAAUAUAAAUAACAAACUAUAAACGGUUUAUGAAAUAGAUUAUGGAUAAAUUUUAAAUUUUAAAUUUGACUGGUGAUAGAGUUGUUUAUAACCCACUACUUUUUAUGUAUUAAAAUAAAUAUAAAAAUCUAUAACCCACUACUUGUUAUGUUCUUGGGAUUUUUUUUUUGGUUAAAUAUAGUAAGUUCCUUAACUUUACAUUUAGUUGCACUUUACCCCCUUAAUUUUACAUUUAGGUGCACAUUUGUGAUUUUUUUGAAAUGUAAUUGUAAUUUGCAAAGUUCAUUUGUAGGAGUGGUUAUAGGGUUUGUGUGAUAACAAAUAUUUCUUAAUUAUAAAAAUGUAAUAUUGUAUUAAAAUAGCAUACGAAUGAGCAUUUGUCUUUAAUUAAGGAGUAAAAAGAAUUUAAAGUAUAAAUAACAAACUAUAAAUGAUUUAUGAAAUAGAUAGUGAAAAUGUUUUAAAUUUUAAAUUUGAUAGGUGAUAGGGUUGGUUAUAACCCACUACUUUUUAUGUAUUAAAAUAAAUACAAAAAUCUAGAAAAAAAGAUGAGAAAUUUGGAAGUCAUUGAAAAGGUCUCUGUUAAAAACCCUUUCUGCAAUACAUAUAGAUAUAGAUAUAGAUAUUUACUCUAUCAAUUAAAAGGUGCUCGAGAACCCAUCACAAUUUAGGCUCCGUUUGAUUAAAACUGAAUAUGAAUUCUGAAUUUUGAAUACUGAAACAAUUAAUUUGCUGAAUAUUAAACACUGAAAAGAGAUAUAUGAAUAUCUGAAUCUUAAUGCUGAACAUAUUUAUACUAUUUGAUAAACAUUUAUAAUUUAAUGCUUAAUAGCUAAAUUAUACAAUUUUGCCCUUCUAUCUUUUAAUCCAAAAGGGAAACAGAACCUAUGAUUUAAUUAGAUUAAAAUUGUUAGGUAUGAAAAUGACAAUAUUUAUUUUUAAAUCAAAGUACUAUAAAAGAAGAAAUAUAUUAUGGAAAAGUUCAAAUAUCGGUGCAAAUAUAUUUUUAAAUCAGAGUUUGAUAAGAAAAGUCCAAAUAUAAGCAAAAGGAAGCUGCAAUAAACAAGUUUUAAAUUCACACCAAAUUAUAUAGAAAUUUAAUUAUUUCAAUGGAAAAAUGUUGACGCAAAACAACAAAUAAUCAAUUGGAAAUAAUAAAUUUGAGAUCAGUGAGUACGGUAGCAAUAAAAAAAAUGGGAGGAAAAAAAGACAAAAUUAUGAAAGAGUAGAAAUAUGGAAAAAGAUAAGGAGUAAACAGAUGUGAGAAACAUGGAGAAAUUGUAAAAAAGUCAUUAAAUAGGAAGAAAAUAGAAGUAGAAAACCAUUAGACAGAGAAUGUCAGGUUAUUUAAUUAGAUAAGAAUUUUGAAUAGAAAAUAUUAGGUUGUUUAAUUAGAUAAGGAUUUUGAAUGUAAUUAAUAAACAAGGAUAAAUUUGGUAUAUAAGCUAAAGUAAUUGAAGUAAAUCUCUGGAUUCUUAUCAAAUUAAACAUUCAGUUAUGAUUCUUGUGUUCAAAAAAAUACAUACAAAUUCAGCACCAUUUAAUAAGUUUAGGGGAAAAAUUUUUAUUUAUCAAAUACCCAAAACAUCUGAAUGUCUGAAUGAAUUCAAUUUUAACACUUUUUUAUAUUAUCAAACAGACACACACACACACACACACACACACACUCUCUCUCUCUCUCAUCCAAAAACACAGGCACAACAUUCUAGUAUUCACAUACUUGGUAAGCUUGUUAUUUUUAUGGAAGCAUGAGUACUGCCUGCACAUGGUAACAAGUAUCUUUCCUAGUGUGAAUGACACGUUGUUACCUUCUGUAGGCCAAGUCAUCUGCCGAAUUUCAAAAAAUUGAUGGAGGAGUAUGUCAACCUUUGCACAGGUGCAUUUUGAGUGAAAUUAUAUACCAUUAGCUGGGUUAUUGCUUUAUCUCUGACUCCAGUCCAUUGAAUGUGACUUGGAUGCUAAACGUCGACAGAGCUGUCUAGAAAAAUUAUACGGGGUAUAGCUCUGGCAUUGGGUGGAUGACCAGCUGAAUUUGAAGGGACAAGAGCCGGUGAUCCAUUUUGGGUGCUGCCACUGCUGCGUAUAAUUGGCUAUCCUGGUGUCUCCCCUGCAAAUGGCCAAGACAUGCUAAAAAAUGAUUUUGGAUGGUGAGAUUGCUGAAGAUGGAUUUCAUCUUCUUUUAUUUCACUUCUAGCACUUGAUUGAUGUGAUUUUGUGCUUCUUUAUGUCUUUUAUCCAAAUGAACGCAGUGGAGUUCAUACGGACUAUGGUAAGAUUCCCCAUCCUUGUUUGGUGUAAGCAUGAGGUGUUCUUAUUUAUACGUGACGAUGACCUCUUGUUCUAUACCAGGUCUGCUGACGUUAGUCAAUCAAGAUGAUGGUAUUACUGCUCUUCAGGUAUCGCCCUCCUGUCUACUUUCUUCUUUAUUUGCCUUCAUUUUUUAGCAUUAGUGUGUAUCCUAAAGUUCUUCGUGUUAAACUUGGGUCUGUUUCAUUAGUUUCUGCUUGAAAUAUAUAUGUUUCUCUGGUUUUUCAUUGUCACUACUCUGCACUAUUAAACUAGUCCCUUUGUAGGUAAAAAACCUUUCUGGAGAGUGGAUAUCAGCACCACCCAUUCCUGGGACAUUUGUUCGCAAUAUCAGUGACAUGCUGAAGGUAACUACUGAGAAUCAUCUCAUCCUAUCUGGGGCACCAAAAUUUCCCACCGGAGUAGCAAGCGAUGACAACGGCGAUAAACCCAGUAGAGCCUCUAAUACCAGACCCUGCCAUUUCUCCCCAAACCGAUAUUCAUGUAAGUUCAACAACCACACCUGUAAACCAUAGUAUCUCCCAGACACAACUUCAACUUCCCUCACACUCUGUUUCGCCUGAAAUUCAUAAUUCCACUUCCAUCCUUCACGCCUCAAAGUCCCCAAAACGCUCCUACAAGGACUGCCUCAUAUCUGAUAAAACCUCUUCAAUCAUUCAACUAGACCUCACCCAAACUGAACUCGCGUCCCCUAUAAACUUUUCUGAAACCCAUACCCAAACCGGGUCCCUUACCAUAGAUUUCCCCCCCAAACUCACAGAUAGACUCAGAGAACCUUGGAAAUUCACUCUGAUUGCUAAACCUCUGGGGAGAAGCACGGGUUUUAGAUACUUCGACCAAAAAAUUCGUCAUAUCUGGAAACCUAUUGGCGAAAUAGCAAUCCUAGAUCUGGGUAGGGAUUUCUUCGCAGUUAGAUUUAAAAACCCGGAAGAUCAUCUUAGAAUCUUAACGGGCGGCCCGUGGUUUAUCAAUAAAUCUCUUAUUUCCAUUCGCAACUGGUGCCCAUUUUUUAAUGCUUUCGAUGCGAAAGCAUCCACAACAACUGUCUGGAUCAGACUACCAGGACUCCCCCUAGAAUUUUAUGAUCAAGAAGCACUCUCUCUCAUUGGAAAUAAAAUCGGGAAGCUCAUUAGAAUUGAUGCAAGGAUGGCCAAUACAGAACGUGGAAGAUUCGCCAGGUUGUGCAUCGAGCUAGACAUUACUCGCCCUCUGCCUACCUCAAUCCAACUAGAUGGACACCAUCAGUUACUGAUCGUAGAAGCUCUGUCCUUCUGUCCUAGUUGUGGUAUGUUGGGUCACGACCAAUCUUACUGCCCUAAGCCCACCUCCGAUGAACAAACGGAAGCACAGCCGGGAGGAGGGACAUGGAGACGUGUUCAGGCGUUCGCCGGCAAAUCGUUUUCUAUGUCAGGAAAGCGACCUCUCCUUCGUAAACCCAACGGUCAGCAUUUUUCAAUUUCAAACGUUAAGUCCAGGCCUUCCCGACCCAUAAGGCCUCAUGGCCCAGGUGUUGGUCAACCCAAAAUCCAAACCUCUAACCGGGUCCCUAUAUUCGGUACCACAGAUAUCCCUAUUAGAAAUAAUUUUGACUUGCUUUCUGAUGUUGACUCUGUGCUUUCCAACGGCGCCAAAGUUGCUGAGCCUCCCAGACCUGCCACCGAACAUCAGUCCCAAAAUUUCCUGCCUAGUGCUCCUUCUCCUACAUUGAAACUUCUUAGCAAACAGUUGGGAGAAACUUUGCCUGCAAAUGGAAAGUGCACUUUCCAACCUCCUCCACCUCCUGCUUCCAAAAAUGACCCGUCGAAAGCCAGCUUCGAUUACCUUCCUUCGGAAGACAGGCUUAGCCCCCACGCCAUCAGCUACAUAUCCAAAACCGGAGAAGUUCUUUCACCCACCCCAACCUCAGAAAAACCCUACGUUACUCUCACCAAAACCUCCUCAGCUCAGUAUGAACCACCAACAAGCCUCAGCAAUGUCCCGGAGGACGAGAACCAACCUGAGAAACUCUCACCCCUCUUACCAAACCCACCAAGUUUGGAACCACUACCCCCCUCACAGAUUGGAAGAACACCCCCAAGCACCGCAUCUCAACCACAUGUUCAGGGAGGAGGAGUGGGUUCUGAUAUGCUCCCACAGAGUGGUAGACCCACUCCUAGUCGCGAACCCACAUUUCUCCUUGGAAGAGAUCCGCCAAAUCCAGGACCAACACAGUUUGGGAAGAAUACAGAUUUGGGCAACUCAAACCAGGAUAGCUUUUAUCACAGACCUGGACCCAGAAGACCAGCUGACAUCAAGGAACAGGGAGGUGAGGGGAAUCGGAGCAGGGAGACCUCCAUACGAACAACACCACCAAAGGCCAAACCGCCCACACAACCGGCCACAUCAGCCCCAGACUCAGCCAGAAAGGGACUACCCGGAACCAAGGAGACACUCAAACCGCCACUAUCGUUGGAACCCAUCAUGGAGGAGGACUCAGAAUCGCCCAGCGACAGCUCAGGAGACUUCUCAGAGGAUAGGUGCCCAGGAACCCACGGGCUCAAACCCCGCUCCAGAACACGAAACAAUGCCACAACUGUACGUCCGGCAAGAAGUACUCUCCAUAUCCCCACUUUCAGUCACUGCCAGAGACUCUCAAAGCUCUGUCACAAUUAUCACGCCGAUAAAAGAAAUGUUAGCCGUAAAAAUAUUCAUGAUGGCCAUCGAACUGCUAGGCGUAGACUCCAGAGACCACUCCUUAACACUACGCCCAAGAUUCAGUCGAGAGUUUCACUUUCCCGUCAAUAUCUACGACGGAAAUCCCAGCUCCCAAGUGAGGCCUCAGAGCCCACCAGAGCCGAUGAUGCCCAACCCAUUUCCUGACUCUAUGAAGAUCCUUUUCUGGAAUGUCAGGGGUGCGGGACACCCGAAUUUCAAAAAUCACUUUCUUCAACUUGUCCAGCUCCAUAAUCCCGCAAUUGCUAUUCUAGUAGAAACUAAACUCCACGGAGACAGAGCACGCCAUAUUUGCAGUCAACUCCCGUUUGACAAUUUCUCAGUGGUCGACUCUUCCGGGUUCAAAGGUGGAAUGUGGCUACUGUGGAACAAGGCAGAAGUUCGCGUAGAUCCUAUUUCAAACCUUUCGCAGGUCAUCCACGCUUCAGUCCAGGUAACCCCCUACUCACCCCCUUGGAUUCUUUAUGAAAUUUAUGCUAGCCCACGAUUUCAGGAAAGAAUUCAAUUAUGGAAUAGUUUGUGUUCCUCUAAUAACCCCAAUCUCCCUUGUGUUUGGAUGGGGGACUUUAAUGAGAUUUUAAUGAGUUCGGACAAGAAAGGGGGUAACCCGAUUAGUCCAAAUAGAGCCUGUUUAUUCAAAGAGUGUUUGGACUCUUGUAACAUGUUAGACUUAGGGUUCAAUGGGCCUCGUUACACCUGGCGGUGUUUUAGAAGGGAUCUAGGCCAUAUUUACGAACGGCUGGAUCGCGUCUUUUGUAACCCUGAAUGGAUUAACCUUUUUCCUGAGGCACAAAUACACCACCUUGCAAGAACUCAUUCAGAUCAUUGUCCAAUUCUUCUAGACCUCCAACCGGCUAUUAGUAAUUCCUUAAACAGACCUUUUAGACUGGAGAAAUUUUGGAUGUCUCACCCAGAAUUCCCACAACUCCUUCAUCAAUCUUGGUCUGGGCCCCCCUCUGUUAUCUCCAAUUCUAUCGAAAACCUCACUUCUAACAUCCUUUCCUGGAGUAAAAAGACCUUUGGGAAUAUUUUCUUUAAGAAAAAGAGGAUCCUAGCCAGACUCCAAGGUGCUCAAAAAGCGAUGCAAUCUCACCAUUCUAUAUUCCUAGAGUCUUUAGAAAAACAGUUGCUUUUUGAGUAUGAUGAAAUCCUUCAUCAGGAAAAAUCCCUCUGGAUUAUGAAAUCUAGAUUGGACUAUGCUAUAUCAGAUGACCUCAAUACCAAAUUUCUACAAACUUCUACCCUCUGUAGAAGGAAACGGAAUAAAAUUGUAUCUUUGAGAGAUAAUGAAGGUAAAUGGCUGACCAAUAGUGAUGUUGUUAAAAACCAUAUCCUUGAUUUCUUCUCUUCCCUAUUUACUUCUCACCACUCUCAGUCAUCCUUUUACCCACAGAAUUUCCCUUUUCAGAAAUCUUAUCUGGAGGAAGAAACCAAAAUAUCCCUAGUCACCCUCCCAACCAUCCAAGAAAUUAAAAAGGCUGUUUUUGAUUUGAAACCUCUCAAAUGUCCUGGGCCGGAUGGCUUUCACCCUAUUUUCUACCAGAAAUUUUGGAAUUUCCUUGCUCCUUCAAUCACCCAAUUCAUACAUGAUGCUUUCAAUCAAAAGCCCCUUCCAGUCGGGAUUAACGAUACUUUAAUUUGCUUGAUUCCCAAACUUGACAACCCGGAUAUCAUUCAGCAGUUUAGACCCAUAGGACUCUGCAAUACCACUUAUAAAAUACUAGCCAAGACCAUUGUUAAUAAACUUAGACCCAUCCUUUCAACCAUCAUCUCCCCUCUCCAAUCCAGCUUCAUCUCGGGUAGAAGUGGAACAGAUAACAUCAUGCUUGUCCAAGAAGCCAUUCACAGGCUAAAAAAUAAAAAGGGCAAAUAUGGGUUGUGUGCCAUCAAGCUUGAUCUUCAUAAGGCGUAUGAUAGUCUUGAAUGGUCUUUUAUUCAUCAAGCCCUCACUUUCUUUGAUUUUCCCCCAUCCCUCAUCAACCUCAUUCUUCAUUGCAUUACAUCUACCAAUUUGGCCAUACUCAUAAAUGGAUCCCCAACAAACUUUUUUUCCCCUUCUAGAGGCAUUCGACAAGGAGACCCUUUAUCCCCAUACAUCUUCAUUAUUUGCAUGGAAUACUUGUCAAUGGCUAUCACCAAAGAAGUGGAUGGUAACAACUGGACCCCUCUCAAGUUUGGGAGAUCUAGACAUUGUCUGUCACAUUGUCUGUUUGCAGAUGACAUCAUCCUCUUCUCGAGGACAGAUGAUACCUAUAUAACCACUAUCCAAAAUAUUUUGAACAUAUUUGGGGACCUCUCUGGCCUCCGUAUCAAUCACUCCAAGUCAAGGAUUCUAUUUUCCCCAAACACCCUUGAAUUCACUAAAAACUCUAUCACCAGGACUCUAAAGUCUAAACAUUCAGGGUACCCGAGACCUAGGAAAAUACCUUGGAUUUCCACUUAGUGUUAAGAAAGCAACAGCCAAAACCUUCCACUUCCUUUUGGAAAAAAUUCAGUCCAAACUCCAAGGCUGGAAAGCAAACCUGUUGUCUUUUGCUGGGAGAAAGACAAUUAUCCAACAAUGCAUAUCUUCCAUCCCUACCUAUUUCUUCCAAGCUGCACAUAUCCCAAAAAAAAUAUGUGAUGCCAUCGAUAGAGAACAGAAAAAUUUCCUCUGGGGCUCCACAGAGGGGAAGAAAAAACUCCACUUGAUUAAGUGGGAAACUGUUACCCUCCCCAAAAAGGAGGGUGGUUUGGGAUUGAGACAAUCAGCCCUUUUGAACAAAGCUAAUUUGGCCAAACUAAAUUGGCAGAUGAUGAAAAACACACAUCGUCCUUGGGUUCAAAUUCUUUCAGAUCUCUACUUACAUAGAAACCAACCUUUGAAAGAAUCCCCUCUUAGCUUCUGCAAAUCUAGAGGUUCCAUAAACCUCAGGAAUAUCAUACACGGUAACAACAUCUUCAACCAAGGGUUGGGUUGGAACAUAGGAGAUGGUAAAACAAUUAAAGUGUGGUCUGGAAAAUGGUUCUCAGCAAGCACCCUCAGAUCCUUAAUUGAAGGACCACUCCUACCAGAGGAAGAUCAACUACUCCUAUCAGAUCUUUUUGACAGCAAUGGUAAUUGGAAUUUCAACAAUAUUUCCUUCCAUCUACCCCCUUCCAUUACCGACCUGCUAAAAGCUAUUCCUAGACCUCACCAUUCUAAACAAGCAGACAACCUUAUAUGGAGGAAUUCUCCAGAUGGGGAGUUCAGUCUAAAAUCUGCAUAUGAGAUCACUAGUUUGCUAUAUAUUCAGGCCAAACCCAAUGUCCAAACACCCCAUCCUCCAAGCCAGUCUUUCACUUGGAUUUGGACUACUCACACAUCCCAUCGAACCAAAUUAUUCCUCUGGUUAGCUUCUCAAGACAAACUAGCAACAAGAUACCUCCUUCAUAAGAGAAACAUCCUCCCUGAUAAUAUCUGCCCUUUCUGCCCAGGACUGAUAGAGGAUACUAAUCAUGUCUUGCGCAAAUGUGUCCACGCCCAAGCUGUUUGGAUGGAGCUCAAUCCCAACUACUAUCUAUCCACUCUACACAUUCCUUUUCACAUCUGGAUUAGGGAAGGUUGUAAACUUUCCACACCCUCCCCUUUCUACAAUAUUCCUUGGGGCACACUCUUUGCCUUUACUUGCUCCACCAUUUGGAAAUCCAGGAAUAAAAAGAUUUUUGAGCCCAACAGAACACAACCUCCUCCAACCAAAACCAGCAUCAAGUUGGCCACUGAGUUCUACUCCCUUGGCCCAAAUUCUGGCCACCCCCCUCGCAGAAAAUCACAUAUUCUUAUCAGAUGGAUUCCUCCAAUCCUCCAUUGGUUCAAGCUCAAUUCAGACGGCUCAGCCUUAGGAAACCCAGGUCCAGCGGGAGCUGGAGGUGUUAUCAGAGACGCCUCCGGAUGUUGGAUUAGAGGAUACUGCAGAAACUUAGGUUCUACAAACAGCAUGCUGGCGGAAUGUUGGGGUAUCCGAGAUGGACUAGAAAUAGCCCUUUCCUUAAAAAUUUCUCAACUUGAAGUUGAAGUUGACUGCGAAGCUAUUAUUACUUUGUUAACAGCUGUUGCCAAUCCUAAUCACCUUUUGAACUCUAUCAUUUCGGAUUGCAGAUCCCUCCUUUCGCAGCUGCGGCAUGUUAAAAUAUCCCACAUAUACCGGGAGGCAAAUAGAUGCGCGGACGCACUCGCAAGAAUGGGAGGCAGAUUACAAUCCAACUUUGUAACUUUUGCUAAUUGUCCUCAAGAACUCGCUUUUGUCUAUGAUGAGGACUUGAAAGGGAUCUGUUUUCCCCGCACUAUCUCUUUUGCUUUAUAAUAGAUAGGGCAAAACUCUGUUGUUUAUUAAUAUUUAAUCCCUAUUUUCACCAAAAAAAAAAAAGUGACAUGCUGAAGGUAUGCAUCUCAAUAAUUGAUUCUCCAGUGGUUUUCAUGCUGUCACCCGAUAACUGUUCUUAAUAUUUGGGAAUCUUCAGAUUCUAUCCAAUGGCCUUUAUGAAUCAACUUUGCAUCGGGUGACUAACAACUCUCCCAUUUAUCGGGUCUGCGUGGCCUACUUUUAUGAGGUAAUCCUCUCUCUUAAUUUUCCUUUUUUAUUUUGAUUCAGCUUCUUAAUCAAUCUCCUUGGUUUUUUUCACAUGAAUAGCCAAAUAAUAGAGCCAUUGGAUGUAUGCGUAAAACAAACUGGUGGAACCAGGAGGUUUGAAGGUGCUGUUUACGGUAAACACUUGGUCAGUAAAGUCCUGACAAAUUUCAUAUACUGAGGAAUAAAUCUAUCUCCCCAUUAUGCCUGUUUCGACUGAAUCUCUCACAUUCACGAAUUUUGGGGAUUUCGUCUGUUAGCUGUUGAAAGGAUGUACCUAGCUGAUGACAUGGAAUUUCUUGUGUUUAUUGGAUUAAGUUGUCGGUUGAUUUAAGAUGACAUGACCUCAUCAAGUUCUCGGAGUUUUUGGAACUCUGUACCUAGCUGAUGCCCGUUUCUUUCAUUUGGUUUUGCCUUGAAUUGUGCAAUUAUGUUGGCGUAUCAGUAUUCAUAAAGCACCCUCAACUUUGGAACAUAAAUAUAAGCUGGUUGGCUUAGGCUUUAACUACGUAUUAAUGACAGCGAUGGUUUACUGUCUACACUCAUAAAAUAUUUCGCUAACGGAGGAAGAUUUUCUCCUCCAGCUUCUGACAACAAAAUACAUACAUACACUUAAUAUUACGGCGUAAUGAUAAGGUAGGCACUUAGGCGGCUGGCUGCCGACACCGAAAUUCACGAGCCUGGCUCUUUUAAAGCAGCAUAUGUCGGCGAUGGAGGCCUUGCCCGCUUGGGCACAUGAUCGGAUGUCUGUGGCGUGCCCUUAGAAACAUAAAUGCCGCAAGGCACGUAGUUGAGCCAUUUCGGGUCCGGGCAGGUCCAGCGCCUUGAGAAGAAAGCCUCGCAUUCCUUGGGGCUUCUUUGCGAAGGAAGGUCUAGAAUGCAAUUCAUGGUUACGUUCAGGACUUUCUUCUCGAUUAACUUCCAGCAUUCUGGUCCGACUUGAGUGAAGUAAUUGAACUUGAGGUCCAGUACCUCCAGGUCGCCCAGGAUGCACAAGCUCUCUGGAACCGCCCCGUAGAAUUGGUUGUACGACAUGUUCAGCUGCUGAAUAUCCUUCAAGCACCCGAAUGAUUGUGGAAUGGGACCUGUCAAUUGGUUUAUGCUGACAUCCACAAUAUGUGUUUUAUUCAGAAACCCAAUCUCAUAAGGUAGGCAACCGGAGAGGCUGUUGUUUAAGAAAAGAACCUCGAGGAGAUUUCUGGAAGUUUGGCCAAUGCUCCUGGGGAUUGGGCCGGUUAAUUCGUUGUUUGCAAAGGUGAGAUAGAGUACAGGGGUUUGGCCAAGAUUGCCGGGGAUUUUUCCGGAGAAUGCGUUGUUGUUGAGGAAGAGCACGUCCAGGUCUAGUGUGAAGGCUUGAGGCGGGAUUGUCCCUGUUAACUGGUUGAACCUGACGUCCAGGUAUGUCAAGUUGGUUGCCCCUAGGGCUGCAGCGGGGAAAGCUCCUACGAGCUUGUUGUUGCUCAGGUCGAACUCGAAGAAGUUUGGAAGUUUGGAUAUUCCAAAGGGAAUGUCACCUGUGAAGUUGUUGGAGUUGACAUGGAAGAUUACCAGGUCCUUGAGAUCUUCAACGAAGUCUGUUGCAACGAGUGGACAGCCAGGUCCGCCGUCAAAGUUGAAGCCAUUGAAAUUGACGCCAACGACUCUAAACUUGUUAUCUUUGGUGCUUCUGUCGCAUACGAAGCCUUUGUAUUUGGAUUUGUCGUAACAGAUGCGAUUGCCCGUCCAGGUUUUGGUGACGCAAAAAGGGUCGGACUUUAUUCUCCUUUUGAACCUUUGGAUUACUUGGAUGGCCAUUUUUAGUUCCUCGGAAAGAGUAAAUGGAGGGGGCGGGGGUGGAGGACAGGGGGGCUCUGGAGGGGGAGGGAGCUGUGGGCAAUCUUGGCAUUCUCCAUUGUCAGGAGGGUAGGCAGGGGAAUAGGGAGGACUGCCAACCCCUAUAACGAUUUCGAGUGUUUCCCUGUUGAUCGGGAAACCAUUACCAACGACUUGAUAAAACCAGCAAGAGUGCAGGAUAACAAAGAAGACGAGAAGAGGAAAUGUGAGUGAGAAAGUGUUCUCUCUCUCCAUAUUCCAACACUUCUGAUGAUUGAACCAGGAAGAAGGCACAACCUAUAUAUGCUAAUGGGGAGGGAAUGGCAAUGAUAGGUGAUUCAGUGAUUUGAGCCAUACUGCCAAUAAAGAGAGAUGAGUUCACGAGGAUGACGUCCUUCAAUUGUACCAUGAAUUUCUGUUGUUUUGGGCACUACGAGUGGGGCUUCCUCAUGCAAUAUGUAGAUUCUUUCACAUACAUACAUAAAAAAUUUUUUUUUUAAAAAAAAGAGAUUGAAAAGAUAAAUAAAUAUGUUAAAAAAUGUGUUUAUAAUAAUACAAGUAAAUAAUUUUUUGAUAAAUAAUUACCAUCCAAACGGAAAAAGUAUUUAAGGAGUUUACAAGUUUUUAAGAAAUGAAAAUUAAUACUACUCAGAGCAUUUUACCGGAAAAAAAAUAAAAACUACAACUCAUUAGCUACAGCUAUCUUUACUCCGAUCUACUCUAUAAAUAAGAACAACACUUUCACUUAAAAAAAAAAAGAAAAAGAAAAAAGAAAGAAUAAUACAUCGAUGAUGUCCAAUGACACGACGGACUUAGCAGAAUGAAGCGGCCUGCAAUGGCUGUGAAUCCGUUCCCUUUCAAAACGACAAAACCAGCAAGUCCGUUGCCCCAGCGCUCGCCUCUUACAAAAGGCAAUACCGACACAUCCGGCGCAGCAGGUUCGAGACAGCUCAAAAGGCAGCCCGCCAGAAAAGUGAAAGAGAUGGUAACCAGUAGGACAAAACUUCGCAUGAUUGACCUUUCAACGAGGAUCUGUCCUCUUGCUAUUAUUUCCCUCCCAAUGCAAUUCCGGAGGAGCCAUCCCAAUCGUCAAUACAUCCUUCCAAUCUUGUGCAUGUGCACUUCCUCCUUGAUGGCCUACUGUGUCGCAGUUGACGUGUGCAUCCCCAUUCGUCUAUUCUCACCGGCAUAAACAUUUUACACUCAAUUUUGUAUCUGCACUAACAAACUGUUCCCCUAAUAUGUCUUUACAGGCUACUCAGAUGCCAAGGAAAAUUAAAUAUCUUCAAGAGGGAACAAUAGGUUCCACUCUGCCUUUCCCACAGUUCUAUAACUGCCCUUUUUUGCUGUCUUCUCUGGACGAGUUCUAUUUUCAUUCCAUCUUUUACUAUUUCAAUGCAAACUUGGGCCAAAAAAAAAAAAAGGGUUCAUGAAUCCACCAAGUUAAGGUAUUUAAAUUUUCUGGCACAAUUUCACCACCAAAGUAUUCCUUUAAAAUUCCUAAAGCUUUGCCUUCAACAAUGAUGACCAUCCAAUCUGCAGCCUAUGUCAGAUAGUGAAGCAGCAAAAAGAUAAAAGAGGAAAGUAGAAAACAAGGCAGCUAAACGUGAUGCGUGAAAUUUCAACUGUCAGUCGCACUCGUAUGGUUUCUAACUUGUCCGACACUGGCGCGCACAGUUUUGCUAACACUCUAGAUUUUACUGCACUUUUGUCUACAAAGAGAUGUCUAAAUGCUACUGAUAGGAUAGACGAAAACCACUACUCUGCAAAAGGAAGGAAGAUGGAACUUCAUUAUGAUUACAAAGAGCGCUAUGGUGAGAAAACUAAGCAAUCUUUAACCAAAUUCAAUGAAGCCAAGAACAGAAUGACACUGAGGAAGCAUAUAGUGAAACAGUGUUUCACACUGGCAAAUGUCUAAGAAAUGCAAAAGCUAAUACAAUCAACUCAGAACAAGUUACCCUUGGAAGGCACUAUUACCUCACCAACAGCACUGAUCAAGCAAAUAAAUUUCUUCAUUAGCUUGCAACUCUUCAGGCGAAAGAUUGUAAAAAAUUUUAAGCUAAAGUGCUGAUUACCAAGCAACAGAGUGAAGUACAUUCAUGAUACUUUAGGACCAUGAUUAACAAAAUUUUCCGGCUCAAAAGCCAAAUAAUGGCAGAAGAAGGAUAAAGUAACUUCUCUUACCUCAUCACAUGUCACAGGAAGAAUCAAGAGGAACACUGAGGUGUUGUAAUCAACUCUCAUGCUGUUAACCUCCUCAUUCAACUACUUGGGCAUUACUUUCACUAGUAGCAAGCUAACAGCUAUUGACUAGCAGUAGAAAGAAUAACAGUGUAACUCAACCUCCUCAGGCACCACUUUGGCAGAAUUCUAUACAACAGCAAGCCUCAAAUAUGAAAUCUCUUCCAGGACCAUAAAUCUCAUGUCGCAAAUCCAUUUGCAGAUACCCUCUCCACUCUGCUAUCCUUCACAUAGAGUGGUAUCCUCACACCAAGAUCCCUAAGUCGAUUAACCACGUCGUAGAGAAACUCAAAUGUGAGUUUUGAUUGUGCAUUAAGGUCAUCUCUUACAUUUGGAUGCACCCUGAACCAAUCUCCUAGCAUCUUAUGCACAUGGGAACGAAUCAUUCUCCAUGGCUGUUUUAGAUGGGUAAAAAAAUAAUGGGAACGAAUCAUCAUUAUAGCUGUUUUAGAUGGGUAAAAAAAAUCAAAUCUUUUCUUCAGACAAGGAUAGGGUUGUUUUGGAGUUGAGGCUCCAAAUAAGUCUGAUGUUGAUGCAUUCUAAGUAACUUUUAAGCUGAAUUACGAGCUCAAGACGAUUAAGCCGAGUUACAUAAUACCUAGUAGGCUCAAGCUUACGUAUCAACUAGUAUUUUAACCUGUGCUAUGCACAGGUUUAUAUGAGAAUGAUGGAAAAUAU
RNAcentral lists this long non-coding RNA (58753 nucleotides) under Coffea arabica (coffee). Its description in RNAcentral is "long non-coding RNA (CARA_LNC004854)". Lineage: Eukaryota; Viridiplantae; Streptophyta; Magnoliopsida; Gentianales; Rubiaceae. The record is from RNAcentral.